AUUUGGAUAGGAUUUGGUUUAGGGUUUAGGAUUUGAUUUAGGAUUUGGUUGGGGUUUGGUUUAGAGUUUGGUUUAGGAUUUGGAUAGAAUUCGGUUUAGGAUUUGGAUAGAAUUUUUUUUAGGAUUUGAUUAAGGUUUGGUUUAGGAUUUAGGAUUUAAUUUAGGAUUUAGGAUUUGAUUUAGGGUUUAGGAUUUUAUUAGGGUUUGUUUAGGAUUUAAGAUUUAAUUAGUUUUGGCCUAAAGUUUGAAUGAAGUCUAAUAGGAUUUUAACUAGGAUUAAAUUAAGAUUUAAUUGAUAUGUAUUUGAGAUAUAUUUGUGAUCAUUCUAAUAUUUCUUUAAUAUUUUUUAUUUUUUCAUUAAAAUUUCUUUGAAAUUUCUUUGAAUUUGAUUAAAGCUUGCUUAACAUAUUAUGGUUUAAUUAGAGUUUAGUUAGUAUUCUAUUAGAGUUAGGAUUUUGUUGUUGUAAUUUCCAUUCUACCUUCCUUAGCUAGGUGCCCAGAGAAUUCUCAAGCAAGACUUCAUGUAUUACGACAUCUCUAUAAGUCAUACUCCAUAAUUUUUAAAAUCUAUAGCAUCAACCCUCUUUGCAAUCAUAAUUGCCCCCUCAAAUGUUUGUAGACCUCUUAAUUCUACCUUUUGUUGGACCUUUAGUUUCAACCCUUGUACAAACUAAUCUAUCAUCUCUUCUUCUAAAAUAUUGUCAAUUUAGAGACAUAAGGACUUGAACCAGUGUCAGGGUAGAGAGAAUUUGCCUUAAAAAAGCACUGGGCUCCUAGCUGCCACUAAUUGCUCAAUCAAGUCUUGAGAUAAAAAGAACCAAGUUUAUAUAUAUAUAUAUAUAUAUAUAUAUAUAUAUAUACAUAACAUUUUUAGAAGCAAUAAAAUCAAAUAUAUAAGUCUUAAGUUCUCAAAAAUACCCAAAAUAUUGUAAAAAAAACUCUAAAUCAUCAUAUACCAUUCUAGGGUAUUAUUUCCAAACUUCAAAAACUCAUAUCUUCUAUUUGGACCAUCCAAACACACUCAAAUUUUACAUGAAAUACUCAUGUACUUCUAAAAAUUAUCGAAACAAAAUUCAACUAUAAAUUUAUUGUAGAUCUUAAGAUAUCACUAAAACCCUAACAAUAGCUUUAAACCCUAAUUUUUAUACACCUACAUAUAAUUUUCUUUUUAUCUUACAAAAAAAGCACUCAAAUGCCACAAAAUUUAUAUAUAUAGCUUUUUAAUAUAAUAAUAUAUCUUCUACAAAAGGUUUGAGUCAAAAAUUUGUAUAGAAACUUAAGAUAUGGCUAUAACUAUUACUAUGAACAAAAUUACUUACUUACUCCCUUUAAUUUGGAUGCACUGACUUCAACCUUCUAUAACUUCUUCACCUAAAUUCCAAAUUUAUGAAACAGUAUAUGAAAAGUAUAUUGAAGAAAGUUUUUUUUCCAAUUCUUAUCGCCAAACUUUUGUUGCUCUCUGUAAACGUAUGUUUUGCUCCAAAGAGUGACAAUAGGUAUGAAAUUAGCACCUUAACUUUGAGUACCAAUAAUUCCUUCAUAAAAACUCCAAAUUAUACAAAAUUUGCAUCUAAUCCAUAUCCAAAAACUUGAACUUGAUGACUUUAGCUUCUUAAGCUCAAAUGACUUCAAAAAAGAAACCCUAAUUCCUAAUUGGGCCUCAGGUAGCCUCUUUGAAGUCCAUUGGGUAUAGCCUUCGACCAAUAGGAAUGAAUUUUUCCAUUCCUGGCCUUUAUCCAACCAUGCCUUGCUUUCAUCCUUCCUAAUAAGUCUCCUACUAGUUAAGAUUUUCUUCUUUAGACUCUAAUCUCCUCUCAAGGCUUCAUACUAAAUAUUUAGGUCCUAUAAUUUUUUUUAAAUUCUAUAAUCAAAAUAGAUAAAAUUCAAAAUAAAUUUUUUUAUAUCCACUCUCUUUAAAUUAAUCUAUUAACCAUUCUAACAUACACCAAGACUUAUGAACAUAUUAUAUGUCCUAACUAAUUUUUACAUACUAUAAGCAAUUACAGUACGACAUCAAGAGGAAUAAUCUUGCAUUAACUUGGAAUAUGUGAGGUUAGCCAACUGAUUCUAUGCUAAUUUCUCUACAUUGAUGGAUCAAAAUUGAGUCUUAAGCUUGAUCUUAAAUUCCUCUUACUUACAAAAUCCAACUUGAGCUCCAUAGCUUUGAAUUCAAUGUCGCGACUAAUUGGCUAUUGUAUCUUUGAAAUAAUUAGAGGCAUAUAUAAUUUCUUUGUUGAAAUUUGUCUCAGAUAAUUGGAGGUACUAUUGCAUGCUAAAGAGUCAUUAGCAUACAUCUUUUUGUCUUAAGGUCCUUGAGUAUGAAUUGAGCUUGUUCAAUUUCAACCUAGUAGAUGUCAAUUUUCUUAUCUUAGAAGCUUUUAUUUGUCCUUGUAGAGUAGCUAUGUGGCCUAAGAUGUGUACUAUUUGAAUUUCCAUUUGGAAUUGUUUUUUCAUAUCUUCCAUAUUCUAAUUUUCUUGCUAAAUUUUACUAUUGUAAAUCCUUCUCUCCUUCCAAUUGAAUUCUUAAAGUACCACGUUGUAGCUCCAAAAUAGUAUGCAAUGUGAUCACAACAAUUGACUUUUAAAUAGAUGGUGGCUAUCAACAUACUACUAAGAAACAAGCUAAUGCUUGCUCUAAUAUCAAUAAAAUAGGACUAGAUUCUCUAAGAUCUAAAAUCUUAUCAAAUCCAUAACAAAAAAGAUCUUGAUACAACAUAAGACCAAAUAGACCAAAAUAAAACUCAAAGUAACUAAACAAAAUGAAACAUAAAAGAUAAGACUAACUAAAAGAGAAUAGUAUCAAAUAAAAUCAAAUAAAAUGGAAUAAAAAAAAAAAAAACCAAACUUUACUAAAAAAAUAAUCUAAAGUCAUACUUAAUUAAAUGCCCAAAUAGCCUCAGUUAUUACUAUUUAUACUUUAUUCAACUACCUUGGAACUUUCUAAAAUAUUCUUAAUGGUAGAUCCUAUCAAGAUAACUAUUCUUCUAAAAGAUUCUAGAUAUGGAUUUCACCACAAUAACUACCUUAAGCAUGUCUAGAAGGUUUUAUGGUAGACCUCACAUAAACCACCAUCUUAACCUCAAUUUUAGAAACUUCCCAAGAACAACUCCAACUAUAUAUCUUUAUAUGCAAAUAAUACAAAUAUCCUAUCAAUGUCUUAUUACUAUUGAAGAAAAGAAGUCUAAAAGCUACAAACACUUAGCAUCAGCAAGGAUUGUAAUUUAAGAGAAGUGUGGAGAAAGAUAUCUCUUACUUCCAACACUCUUUACUUAUGGGUGGUAGUUUGCUCACCAACGAGGCAACUUCUAUCCUUUUAAUAUUACAUCUAUUUCUACUUCAUCCAUCUAAAUCCUAGGUUCUUUCUUAACCUAGCCGCCACCUACAAACCCUUGGUGCCACCACAAUAACUUACUUUAACUCUUUGUUACUUUUUUACUAUUAGUAACAUACUAUACUUAAACUCUAUGUGGUUGUAACUAAGUAAGUACUUGCUGAUCUUCAACAAUUAUAUCUAAAGUCUUAUUAUAUCUAAAAUAUUCUACAAUUAAAGUAUUAUGUCAAGCUUAAUAAAUUUAUAAUUGUGCUUCAUGUUUUAAAAUAUAUAAGCAACUUUCAAAAUAGAGUUGAUUGUUCUUAAAUUCAAAAUUAGAACUUUUAUGAAAUUUAGAAGAAUUAUUCUUAACAUUAUAAAUAAAAAGAUUCAAAGACAUAUUUAAUUGGAUUUCAUAAAAAAAUAUUGAAUCAAUAAUCUAUGUUGAUUUUAUUAAUUAAAAAUAAAAUUUUUUUGGCUUCAAAAGAAAAUUCAUCGUUAAUCAAAAGCUAUAUUUUUUUUUUUUUUUUUGGUGCAAGAUAAGAAAAUCUAGAGAGGGCAUUUAAUAAAUUUUAUUAUUUUUUUAGCUCAUAUGUGAUGUUGAAUACAAAUCUUGACAAAACCAUGCUCCAACAAGCUUGCUUAUAAUUCCAAAAGCAUGUUAUACUAAAUAUUCAAGAUUCUUGUGAUUUGUAUAAAUUAUCAUUAGACUUAAAGUACUUCCCAGAUAAUAGCACAAUUCUUAUAAUAAAUCUGUAAUUGUAAGAAGUUUUUUCUUUUAAAUCUCAUACUUGAUUUUUAUUUUUGAAAACAAAUUUGAAUAAAAAAGCUAUUAAAUGAAGUUUUUUUAUUUACUUCUAUUUGUAACAAUAUUACAUUUAGAACAAACUUUAAUGUGUCCAUUUUCAUAAAAAUAUUUUUAAAAAAUCAUUACAAUACAAGAUUGGUAUAGAAGUAAAAGCUAAAUUUUAAGCUUCAAAUAUUGCUUCUUUAUUCUACUUAAGUUUGUAUUUACAUAUUAAAUAUGUAAAAAAAAUUAAAAUUUGAAAAAAAAAUUGAUUAAUAUUUGAUUUUAAUUAAAAAAAAUUAAAAAUACACAACUUUUAUUAACUUUUGAAAUCUUUCAAUCCAUAAUAAUUUUAACUUUAUUAGGAUUUAUUAUAAGGCUAUCAUUUAGAAUAUUAUAUCCUGAGAAAUCAACUUGAAUAGUAUAAAAUAUAUACUUUUCCAUCUUUGUAUGUAGUUAUGCAUUUUCAAGUUUUUAUAAUAUGCAAUCAACAUGAAGUUUAUAUUCUAUUAUUUUUUGAAAAUAAAUUAAAAUAUUUUCUAGAUAAUAGAUAAAAAUAUCACCUAAAAAAUCUCAAAAAAUAUCAUUUAUUAGAUUUUAAAAACUAAUAGGUACAUUUUUAAGUCAAAAAGACAUAAUGUUAUAUUCCAAAUGUCCAUACUUGAUUUAAAAUGUAAUCUUUUGUUUAUUUAUUUUUUUAAUGUACACCAAAUUAUAUGAGUAUUAUAGAUCUAUUUUUUUAUAGAACUUGGCUUGAUUUAAUUCAUUAAAAAGUUCUAAUAUCAAAAAUAAAAAAUAUAUAUUCUUUUUACAUCUAAAAAAAUAGUUUCAUAGGUAAUAUUUCCAAAAAACAACAAAGAACCAUCUUUGACUUCUAUAUGAAAAAACUUACAUUUUUUGACCAAGGAUAUUUUUUAUUUUUUAAAAAAAUAUCUAUUUACAAACAAGCUAAGGCUCUUAAAACUAAAAUCAUAAAAAAUAAAAUAAAAAAAUUGAUCCUAAAAAAUCAUCUAUUAUAAAAUAAGGUAAUGGAUUUGAAAAAAGAAUAGGACCUUUAUUAGAUGUUACAUAAGAUUUCAACUCUACAAUCUUUAUUAUAGCCAAAAAAAUUUAUUUUUUGAUAUAUUGUCUUUUUUGGCAACCAUACUCUUUAUUUUGUAAUUUGUUUUCUUCUUAAAAUAAUAUUGAAUAAUAUAUUUAGAUUCACUACAACAUGAAUAUAAUUUAUCUUAAUGACAUCUAGUCUUUUUUUACUCAAUAACACGUUUAAAACUUAUCAUAUCAAAUUACAUAGGUUUUUGCCUUCAUGAAGAAGUUAUUAAAAUUUUAGAAAUUAUUGCCAUAACUUGAUUUUUUCUUCUCCAAUAAAAUCUUUAUUCUAAGCAUCUUUCAAAAAGUUAAUUUUUGUAAGCAAUGGUUUGAAUAAUAAAUUAUUCCAAUGAAUAUAUUUUUUGUAUUAUCAAUAAUAAAUCUUUAAUAUAUAAAUCUUUAAUCCAUAUCAAAAUUUAUUAAUAAAGAAUUUAUUAUUUCAAUCCAUGUUAUAAGCAAGGUUUUAGAAUUCAACAAUAUGUGGUAGCUAAACAUGAUUCUUAUUGUAAAAAUAAAAAUUUGAUUUCUAUUAUUCUUUCUUGAUCAUUUUUUUUAAAUGUGGCCAUUAAUACUUUUAAUAAUAAAUUUAGAUCAUAGAAGGAUCAUGCAUCUUUUUCUAUCAAAGGUACAAAUUAAGAAAGAACAUUUCUAGAUAGAAGUGUGCCUAUGAAUCCAACUUGAUAAAUACAAAUUGAAUAAAUCCAUCAAGGUAUUGGAAAUGAUGCAAGCUUAAAUAGAACUUGAUUUAUUAAAAAGUAUUUGAAAUUUUGAUCUUUUUCUAUUAAACUUCUUUGACAUACUAAUCAUUGGUUCUUUCAUACUUGUAAUAAGAAAACUUCUUAAAUUCAAUUAUAAAAUUAAUCUACUUACUUCUUUUAACUAUAUAACUUUUUAAUAUAGAUAUCAAAUUCAUUAUUAAUUUUCAUGAUAAAUAUAGGAAUUAGAUAUUAAAGAUUGAUAUUAGUAAUAUAAAAGAUUUCUACCUUGAAAGAUUGACAAGUUUAUGAAGAUUUGUAAUAGUUACAAAUCUAUUAUCACUUUUAUCAAAUAUAGCAUCUUAAUUUUUACUUAUAUUUUUAUAAUAGAUGACUUUAAUAAAUCCACAAGUCAAAUUCAAGGAGUAUCUUAAAUAUACAUAUUUAUUUUGAUAUUUAUCUAUAUAAUUAAGUAGAAAUAGGUAAAAGUAGAUUUAAUUUAUAAUAUUUUUUAGAGAAGCUUCGUAAAAGCUUCAUAGAUGUUAUUUCGACUUUACAUAUAUUUAUAAUUGAUUGAUAGGAUAGAAACUUGGUCAAUAAGUUAAUCACGUAUUAGUAGGUUGUAGAACUAGCUAAGUAUAUGGCAUACAUAUAAAAUACUUAGCUUACAAGUUAAGCUACGUGACUUCCAAAGUCAACACAUUUUGUAGGUCUUAUAAGACAUUGCCACAUAGCUUCUAGUUUAGAUCAUUUCUAGAGAUAAAAGGGAAGCCUUUUUUAGUCUUCUCAAUGCCUUUUUAGUUUUUAGUCUUAUUUCAAGACUUUCUAGUCUUUUUGUCUUUGACAAUAGUCAUUCUAGUUCAAUAUAUUAUCCUCUUUAAGUAAUUUUUUAGUCUUUUUGAGUGACAUAAGGAUGUAUUACUAUUUUAAUUCUUUGAGGUUUGUAUCCUUUAGAGUUUGACAAAAGUGCUAAUUUAUUAUUUUGUAUUAUUUUAUAAGUGAAUUAUUCUAUUUCUAUUAUUAUAUUUUGAAGGUUGUAGAUUAUUUAUCUUUAAAUAAAUAAUUUAUUUUUUUAAUACUAAUUUUUUUUCUUAAAAAAAGUGCAUUAUCCCUCAUAGUAGAAAUUUUCAUUCAAUAUUAGAGGUUGUGAAUUACCUUCUUUUAAUUUAACUUGUAGAUUUAUUAAGUUAUUUGAAAUAGAAGAAAAAAUCAUGGAUACUAUACUUGGUAGAAAAGAAAAUAGAUUUUUAACUAUUUUAGAUCUUUACAAACUUGUCAACACUCUUAAAAUAGAAAUUUUAUACAUUACCAAUGUAAACUAUAAGAAUACUAAUCCUAUGCCUAUAGAAGAAGUUCAAAAUCUAUAGUAAGAAAUUGUGCAAUUGAAGGAAGCAAGUAGAUCAACCUUACAACCAAAUCUAAGAAGUUUUCCUUCUACAAGUACAAAGAAGAUACACAUUAGUAUGCCCAAUAAGUUUGAUAGAACAAGUUCAAAAUUUUGAAGAUUUUUGCAACAAGUUGAGUUUUAUUUAAGGUUGCAUUCUUUCUAAUACUUUGAUGGAUUUAAUUUGAUGAAUCAUUGGAAUUUAAUACUUAAUAAAGGUCUUAUUUUCUCUUUAAAUUCCUCACCUCAUUUUAUAAUAGAUAUGUAUUUAGUACCUAAAAAUUAUAAAGUCUUUAUAUUAUUAGAUUUAAGAGCCUCAUUUUAUUUUAUAAAUAAAAUCUUUAUUAAAAAAAUAUAUAUCUUUAAAUAAGAAAACUAAAUCUAUACAUGUAGAAGUCAUGGAUGGUUGUUAGUUUUCUUUUAAAGACAUUAUUUAUAAGAUUGUUCCUUUAGAUGUAGCAAUUAAAGAUCAUAAUAGUAUAAUAAUAUUUAAUGUGAUAAGAUCUCCUUCUAAUCUAAUUAUUUUAAGAUUAUCAUAAUUAAAAAAAUAAAAUCCAUAGAUAGAUUGGAUUUCUUGUAAUCUUAAUUUUUUUUAUAGUUUAAUCCAAAAUUUUAAUAGUGAAGUAAAAAUAUAUAAGCUUAGUACAUCCAAACUCUUAUUGAUAGGUACAAGAACUUUCAUGCAUGCAACAAGAAAAGGUCAUAUUUUGUUAUAUAUGCCACAUCUCUUUUUGAUGGUGGAAAGAUGUCAAGUGAUAUUUCUAACUACUAUCAAGAUUUUUAGGACAUUUUUUAAAAGAAAAAUAUAAAUAUUCUUCUAAAACAUCAAUCCUAUGAUUGUACAAUUGAUCUACAAAAAAAAGCUCAACCACCAUUUGGACCAAUCUACAACUUAUGGCAAAAUGAAUUGGCUACACUAUAGGAGUAUAUUGACGAGAAUAUGACUAAGAACUUCAUACACCAUUCAAAAUCUCUAAUAAGAACUCCUAUCUUAUUCGUGAAGAAAAAAGAUAGAUCUCUAUGGAUGUAUAUAAACUAUUGAAGACUUAACAAGAUCACCAUUAAAAAUAAGUAUUUUCUACUUUUGAUUUUAAAACUUCUUGACCAAUUCAAUCAAGCAAAAAUAUGUACAAAAAUAGAUUUACAAAGAACAUAUAAUCUAGUCUGCAUUAAAAAAAAAGAUGAAUAGAAGAUUAUUUUUUAAAUUAGAUAUGGAUAUUUUGAAUAUAAUGUCAUGCCUUUUGGACUCACAAAUGUACCUCUUAUUUUUUAAUAUCUCAUAAAUGAUAUCUUUUGUAAAUUUCUUGAUGAUUUUAUUGUCUAUUAUUUAAAGGACAUUCUAAUCUACUCUAAAAAUAUAAAAAAAUAUGAUUUUUAUAUUUAUCAUGUAUUACAAAAAUUUAGAGAUGCAAGAUUAUAUGAAAAGCUAAAAAAGUAUGUAUUACAUUCUAUUCACAUUGACUUCUUAGAAUAUAUCAUUUCUAACAAAGUAUUAAUGAUGGAUCUUAAGAAGGUCCAAACUAUCAUGGAUUGGAAGAUCCUAAAAACAAUCAAAGAUAUAGAAUAUUUUUUGGAAGUUUUUAAUUAUUAUUGAAUCUUCAUCAAAAACUUUUAUUAAUAAUAAAAUAGAAACAUUAAACUUUGCUAUAGAUGUUGUCUUAUCUUAAAUAGGAACAAAUGAUAAGCUCUAUCUAGUAGCUUUUUAUUCCAAGAAAUUUUCAGAUGCUGAGAUAAAUUAUAAGAUCGACAAUAAAAAGCUUUUUACAAUUGGGGAUUUAUUUCAAGAAUGGAGUCAUUAUUUGAGAGGCAUUUUUAGUCCAAUUAUUGUGUAUACAUAUCACAAGAAUCUUAAGUACUUUAUGUUGGUAUAUAUUUUGAAUCAUCACCAAGCCCAUUAAAAUUUGUCUUUAUCUAAAUUUAAUUUUAAGAGUAUCUAUAGAUCUUAAAAAUAACAAGGUUUAUUAGAUAUCCUUACUAGAAAUUCUCAUUUUGUAUCAAAAGAAAGAAAUGCAGCUUUUGAUCAACAAAGAAUGAUUUUUUUGAAGCCAAAAAAAUUUCUUCUUCAAGCAAUGAAAUCAACAUUGAUUGUUGAUUCAACAUUUUUCAAGCAAGUUCAAUUGAAUAUGUCUUUUAUUCCUCUUAUUCAUGAUUUGAAGAAUAAAUCUUUUAAAUCUUAUGAUACUUCUAAGUUUGAGUUUAAAAAUAAUCUACUCUACUUUGAAGAAUAAUUAUAUAUUCUAAAAGGCAAAGCAUAAUUAUGUAUUCUUCAAGCUUAUCAUGACUUUUCAAUAGCCAUAUAUUUUGGAUAUAACAAGACUUUGGAGCUAAUAACUAAAAGAUUUUAGUGGCUUCAAAUAUAAAAGGUAAUUAAAGACUUUAUGCAAUCAUGUGAUAUUUUUUCAAGAUUCAAAAUUCCUUGUCAUGCAUUUUAUGGACUUCUUCAGCCAUUACCUAUUCUAAAAUAAUCAUAGUCUUUUAGUUCUAUGGAUUUUAUCAUGGAUCUUUCAAUCUAAAGUUUGUAUGAUUCUAUAUUUAUAAUAGCAGAUCAUUUUAUCAAUCAUAAGAAACAAUCAUAAUUCAAAGUGGAUGAUAAGGUAUGGUUACUCUAUCAUAAUAUUAAAAUUAUUUAUCCUUGUGACAAGUUGAACUAUUAUAAGCUUAAACUUUUUCCUAUUAGUCAACAAGUCAAUUUUUUUGCUUAUUGAUUGCAUCUAUUGUAGUCUACAAAGAUCCAUUUUAUAUUCCAUGUAUCUCUUCUUGAAGCAUAUAAGAUAGUGAAUAUCUUGGUAAGAAGAAAAAUGCCACUUUUUUUCAUAGAAGUAGAUAAUAAUCAAAAAUUUAAGGAAGAAGAAGUUUUAGAUUUAAAGUGGUGCUGAAAUAGAUUGAAAUAUCUUAUUGAUUGGUGUGGAUAUAAUAUUAAUAAAUAUACAUGGGAGCCAACAAAAAAUUUUGUAAAUACAUCAAAGAGAAUUGAGGCUUUUUAUCAACAAAAUCUAUCAAAACCAAGAUGAAGAAUAGCAAAUCUUUAUCAUAAAAGAAACAAGAUUCAAGAAAGAUUGCAUUCUACCUUCUAUCCUUGUUUGUAGCUUCUCUAUAUUUGUGAUGCUAAUAAGAUGGAAAACCAAAAAAUAGUAGAAACUUGGUCAAUAAUUUAAGCACAUAUUAAUAGCUUAUAAAACAAGCCAAUUAUGUGGCUUACAUAUAGAAAACUUGCCUUGCAAGUUAAGAUAUGUAUCUUACAAAGUCAACAUGUUUUGAAGGUUUUGUAGGACAUUGCUACAUAAUUUUUAGUUAAGAAUAUAUAUGGAGGCAAGAAUUAAAUCUUUUUCACUCUUAUCAAUGCCUUUUUAGUUUUUAAUCUUAUUUCAAAACUUUUUGGUCUUCUUGUCUUUGGUAAUAGCCAUUCUACUUCAAUAUAUUAUCAUCUUCAAGUAAUUUUUUAAUCUUUUUGAUUGAUACAAGAAUAUAUUGCCAUUUUAAUUUUUUGAGGUUCAUGUCUUUAAUAAGGAGGAUAAUUUGUAGUCUUUUAUAUCAAAUAAAAAUGUAUAUAAAGAUAAAUAAUCUAUUUUUAAAAAAAUCAAUAUUAGAAAAUUAAAAAAAUAUUAAUUUAAAAAUAGAUAGACUACAACCUUCAAAAUAUAAAAAAAAGAGUAAGGUAAUUUAUUGACUUCUAAAUAAAAUAAGAAUAACAAAUUAAUAUUCUUAUCAAAUUAUCAAAGACAUGAAUUACAAAGAAUCAAAAGGUCAAUAUACUCUUGUAUCAUUCAAAAAUAAUAAAUAAUCACUUAGAGAUAGUAUAAUAUCAAACUAAAAUGACUAUUGUUAAAGACAAGUAAAUUAAAGGCUUUUGAAACAAGAUUAAGGACAAAAAAAUAGAUUGAUAAGAGUAAAAAAGGCUUCACUCUUAUUUGUAUAUACACUAUUUAAUCAAGAAUUAUGUGACAAUAUUUUAUACUACCUCUAAUACAUAUCUAACUUACAAGGCAUGUGUAAAAUUUGCAAAACAAGUUUCUUAAAUAUGCACCAAGUAGCUAACUUGUACUAAAAGUUACCAACAUGAGUAAUACAUGGCCAAUUUAUAUGCCAAGAUUUUAAUCUAUCAAUCACUUGAAAAUACAUAUAAAGUCAAAUCUACAUCUAUGAAGCUUUUAAGAAGUAUCUCAAUAAUAUAUUAUAAAAUCUACUUACUUCUAUUUAUUUAUAUCUAUUUUUUUAAUUAAGAUAUAUAUAUAUAUAUAUAUAUAUAUAUAUAUAUAUAUAACAUUAUCUAACAUAGAUUUUAAAAAUAUAAUAAAGCCUGUAAAAUUUGAGAUUGAAACAUCUUUCUUUUAUAUAAUUUGAUAUUUAAUAUUUAAAAAUAAAAGAAGUAAAAAGCAUCAACAUAGAAGGAAGCUGUUUUUAUAGAUAAUAUAUUCUUUUAGUUUAAAUAAAUCCACACUAUUUGAUUAUUAUUUAGAACUUUUUGCUUAUAGACCAUUUAGAUUCAUAAAAACAAAUGUGUCAUUGAUCAAAACAAUAAAAGUAUAAAAUGACAUUUAUAUUAGAAGUAUGAUCUAAAAAGAUCUAAUAGAAUAUAAGUAAAUUAAAUAAAAACCAUAAAAAAAUUAUAAUUGACAUAUUAACACAUAAGCAUUCAAAUCUUCCAAACAAUUUUGCAAUUAGAAAGAAUAAUGUCAAUAUGUUUUAUUAUUAUAAAAGUAUUGGUUAUAAUGUAUUAGAAAAAAUACAAUAUAAUAAGGUUAAAGAUAUCAUUUCAAAAAAUCAAAAAAAAAAUCAAAAAAUUAAAAAAUCCAACAAAAAUAAAAAAAUAUAUAUAUAUAUAUAUAUAUAUAUAUAUAUAUAUAUAUAUAUAUAUAUAUAUUUGAAAAAAAUUGAUGGUAAAAUUAAUAACAAUCAGACACCAAAAAAUAUAAAUGUUUUUAUUAUUGAGAUGUAAUUAAAAAUAAUGCAUUGAAUAUUACUUAUAAAUUUUUUUUAUUAUUUUAUAUUAUUUUUAUUCCAAGAUAUUUCUAAUAUUAUUCUAUUUGAAAUAGUAUGAAAAUAUUUUUUUCUAUCAAUCUCAUUGGUAGGAUUGCAAAUCUGAAUUAGUCUUUAAUAAAAUAAUCGAUUUAAAUGUUAUAUAUUAUUUAUGAACAAUUAUUUGAUUUAUUUUAUAAUUUAUUUAUUUUAUUUUAUAAAAAUUAAAUAAUUCUUGUAAUGUUUUUGAAGUAUUUUAGCUAAAUAUAAAGUGACAAGUUAAAAAUUCCUAAUUCAUAUUGUAUUAAAAAUAUUCUUUAAUCUAGAAGAAUAUAUAUAUAUAUAUAUAUAUAUAUAUAUAUAUAAAAGUAUGAUUGAGACAAAAAUAAAAUUUAAAAUACUCUUUUUUUUUUAAAAAAAUGUGUAUUAAUUAUUUUAUUUUAUUUUAUAAGAUUUUAGAUACUGCUUAAAAAUCCAAGUAAGAUAAGGGUGUUAUUUUAAGAAUUUAAGAAUUAAUUUAGGAUUAAAUUAUAAAAAAUAUAAUAUUUAGUCUUUAAUUUUUUACAAUAACUUCUAAAGAAUAUGUUAUUUUUUUUUCAAAAAAAAAAUCUAGAUGUUUUUUUAAUAAUAACAUCAAAGAAGUUCUAAAAUUGUCUUCUUUAUAAGUGCUAAAAUAUGUCAAUUAGGAAAAUCUUCAUUGAUAAUAUGCACAGAUGUAUUUGUGGCAAAAAGUGCUUCUAUGCACAUAUAUUAAUUUUUUAAUUUAAUAUAUAUAUAUAUAUAUAUAUAUAUAUAUAUAUAUACAUUUAAAAUUUAGAAUCAAGAAGUAAAAAUAAAAAAUAAAAUAAAAUAAAAUGUAUUUAGAAAGAAAUUAGUAGUGUCCAGCUAUGUGGUUUCUAUUAUAAGUAGACAUUAUUUCUUUUUGAUGGCACACAUCUCUAUCAAUUGAUUUAUAAUUUCAAGCUAUAGUUUUUUUUCUUUUUCUUUUUCUUUUUCUUUUAACAAAAAAUUUAUGCAAUAAAAAUUAAUUUAACUUUCUAUUUUAUUGCAAUAAUAUGAGAUUUAAGUUUAGAAGAUUUUAAAAACUUAUAUUAAAACAAGUUGAGUCUUUUUUUAACUUUUACAAAUUCAGCUUUUCAAUUUUUUGUUUAAUAUUUUUAAAAUUUCAAUAUAUAUAUAUAUAUAUAUAUAUAUAUAUAUAUAUAUAAAGAUAUGUAUAUAUAUUAUGUAUCUUAAAAAUUCUAAUAAUUAUCUAAAAAUAACAAAAUGGUAUUAUUAGUCAAAAUAAUAUAUAUAUAUAUAUAUAUAUAUAUUUUUUUUUUUAUGUAGAUAAUUACAUUAAGAUAGUUUAAAAGAUGCAUUCUAUAAAUUUGAGUUAUCCAUGAAAACAAUUCUAAGGUUUUACUAAAGAUUCUAAGUAAUAUUAAAAAAAUUCUUAAAUAUUAAUAGUAAAUAAUAUAUGAUAAAUGAAUUUCUAAAAUAAUUCAUUUUUUAUAAACAUUUAAUAUGUGUUAAGACCUUAAAAGAUGUAGAUUUAAAUUUAUAAUAUAUAUGUAGUAUAAUUUAAGAAAAUUUUGAAUGAAAAUUAAUGUAUAAAUGUUGUGAUUGAAUACAGGAUUUAUAUUUAAUAAAAAAUUGCUAAUAGUUGAAUCACAAGUAACAGUAAUCUUAUUUCUUUGUAAACAAGUAAAAAGUAAAGACGUAAAUUAAAUAAAGUGAUUAAUAUAAAAGGUUAUAAAUAAAUAUAAAGAUAACAGACUAUUUGCGGCUAAUGAAAUUACAUCAAAAUACCUUGAAUCAUUUUUUCUAUAAAAUUUUUGAAUUUCUCUUAGUCUUUAAUUAGGGCGGGACACUUCUAAAAUUUAAAAAAGCAAUACAAUUUUUUUUACUAUAUGUUUUUUUUUUUAAAUUAUGGAUUUCUUGUAUGAAUAUUUUUUUAUUAGUUUUAAUAUUACAUAUUUUGGUAGAUCUUUUAUAUAGGAAGAUAUAAGUAUUAUUGAGAUAAAUCUUCUUUUUUGGCACAACAGAAUAAGAAUAAUACAGAUUUUUGUAAAUUAAAUUUUCUACAAUACAAAAUAAGUAGUGCUAAAAUAUCACACUCAUAUUGAGUGCAAUGACAUGGUUAAAAUAAGUGAGAAAAUAUAAAAUAAGAAGUGAUUAGGAAUUACAAACAAAACAAUAGUUAUGUUAUAACACAAUAAAAACAUUGAUAUUUUGAUACUUCGUUUGGAUAUUUUUGUAGCCCUUAAGAUUACCAUAAGAAACUUAUUCUCAAUUUUCCAAACUCCUAAAUUGAACCUCAUUGAGAAAAACCUUGAAAAGUACCAAAAUAUCUGUGCCUUAGAAGAAUUACACAACAACGGGAGAUACAUCAAGAGCCACUGUGUCGAUCAAUUCCAAGAUUAGCAGGUGGUGGUGGUGGUGAUCGGGUACAAACGUGCCGCUGGACCUUCGAAGGGACUACAGGCUACACAUUUCCAGGGCAUGCGAAUGACAUGCACUUCCAGAAUAGAGCCGAUCCCAAUGUGGGUGGCCACUGUGCAGCAACAGUCGCUGACUUUAAGGCACAGCUGAGUGCGGCAUCUGGAAACGAGCGCGUAUUUAAUUUCUAGAUUCUUCUAAAAAGAGCUGCACAAACGUCUCUUUGGAAACAUGUGAUCGAUCUCACAACGAUUUACAACCUUUCAAUUGAUAGUCUUUGCACAUGUAGAUUGGUAUUGCAGGUCCUUUAGAGUCACAAAAAAAAUUUGUAAUAGGACAUUAGGGAGUGACUGAAAGUGGGACCUCCUCUUAAAAGCGGAUGAAUUGUAUAUUAACCAAAGUUUGGCAGGAAGUGGUGGAGAUACAAAAAAAGCAAGCAAACAGAGUUGGAAUUUACUGUUGUGGGCAUACAUCAAGAACACUGCAUAAGGAUCCUACCUGCAAAAUAACAAUGUAGUAAUUGUUGAAUCAUUUCCAAAUAUAGUGAAUAAUGAUAUAAAAUAUGUUAAAAUGUUUUAUUCUUAAUUGGUUUUUGGGUACAAGAUCCAACCACGUAAGGAAGAAAAUCUUCAUGGAGACUAUUUGAGAUAAGUAACUGAAAAAGACAUGCAUUUCAUUAACCAAUACAAAGAUGAAAAUUGUUUUAGAAUAUUGAAUUCAUAUAUGCUUAUAUUCAUAGAACUUAUAUGGUUUAUAUAUAAGCAAAUACAUGGUUUUUGACUUAUGAUAGUAUUAUUAUUAUUAUUAUUAUUAUUAAUUAUUGUAGGAUUAUGAUUAUACUAAUUUUGAAAAACGUGGUAAAUUAAAAAAUAUAUGUAUCUAUAUAUAUACAUAUAUAUAAUACAUGAGCAAUAAAUUAUGUCUUAUCAUACUAAUAAAUAAUUAUUAAUGAAAUUAUUAUUAAUAAAUAAGAGAUAAAUUAAAAUAAUACUUCUUGUAGUUUUAUUUUAUUUUUCUUUUAAUUUUAAACUUAAUAUAUUUUUUAUUAAAUCAAAUAAAUGUAUAAGUGAAUACAAAUAUUUAGCCAACCUAAAUCAUUCAAUUAGAGGAAAAUUUAGAAACCAUUUAUACUAAAGCUAAACUACUCAACAAAAUAUUUGAAUUAAUACUAUAAAUAAGAAUAUAAUAAAUUAUAAGGAAAAAAUGAUUUUUUUAUUAAAAUACUAAUAAAUCAUAGCAUAAAUACUAUUUAUUGGUAUUUUUUAUUAACUAGUUAUUUUUAAUUAUAAAACACAUAUCCAAAAAAAAUAAAAGAAUUCAAAUGGUUGUAAUUGAUUAUUUGUCCAAAAAUUAAAAUAAGAUUGGCCUAUAAUAUACUAAUUAUAUUACUAUAAAUUAUAAUGAUAAUUAAAACCAAUGUGAUAGAAUUAUUCUAAUCAAUUUAAAGAAUAUGGUUGUUGUCACUAUUUUAGAUUAUAUUUUAAAGGCAAUAGAUCUUAUAAUUUUAAAAAUACAUCAUAUCUUUUGAUAGAAACUAAAAUUUUUUUAGUUGAUACUAAUGAUUAAUAUUAUAUAAAUAUAUAUCAUAUUACUAUAAUAAGCUAUUAUAUUAAAAUUAUUUUUAUUAUUUAAAAUAAAUUAUCAAUAUUAUAAAAAAAUUCUCUUUUAAAUUCUAAAGAUUUAUUUAGUAUGCUAAUACAAAUGGUUAGAAUUUUAUAUAUAUAUAUAUAUAUAUAUAUACAUAUAUAUAUGAUCUUAUUAAAGAUUAGCCUUAAUUUUAUUAAACUUAGCAUACUAUUGCUAUGAAAUAUUAUUCUCUAAAUCUAUAAAUAUAUAUACAACAUCAAAAAGUUAAUAUUACAACUAUGAUAUCUAAUAAUUUAGACUAUUUAAUCUCAAAUUUAAAGCACAUCAAUAUCUAAUAAAAAAAUAAUAAUUACCAAAUUAUAUCAUGUCUAAUCAACAAUCUUGUUACAAACUUAAGACUGUAAUUUCUUUUUUGAAUAUAUUAAAUAGAUAAAUUUACCAACUCAAAGUUACUAUGUAAGGCUAGGUGUUUUAAACUAAUGCUAUAUAUAUAUAUAUAUAUCCAGUUUAUUUGAAUAUUAGAAAUAAAUGUAUUGGUGCAAUAUAAAUAUUUGACAAAGAAUUAUUUUCCACUACACAAUGAAUCAUAUUUAGUAAUAAUCAUAUUAAUAUUACCAAGAAAUGCCAUUGAAUAUAGGUAGGUAAAGUCAAUAAAAAAUAUAAAUCUACUUCUUCUAGUUCAUAAAUUAAAUGAUAUAUAAUAAAUAUGUAUUUUUUAUAUUAAAAAAUAGAUAAAUAUAUUUCUAUCUAAUUAUUAAUUUUUUAGCUAAAUUUUUAAAAGAAGAAGCAAAAAUAAAAUAAUAUUGAUUUUCUUUCUUUUACAAGACAUGAAUAAUUGAUAUAUGGCAAAGUAAAAUAUUAUAUAAAAAAAGAAAUAGUGAGUAAUUAGACUAAUAUCUAAUACUUACAACAAUGGCUAGAAUUUUUUAUUUUAUUUUAUUUUUUCACUUUAAUAGGACAUUUCUAAAACUAGUGGUUUGAAUAAAUAUUUUACAAUGGAAUAUUAUCUAUGACUACCUAUUCAAAGUUUUUCCUAAUUUGCUAUACAUCCAAUGCUUUAGGAGAAUGGACUAACAAAAAGCUAGAUAAAUAUAUAUAGUUAAUAAGCACCAACACCAAUUAGAUGGAUUGAUUCACUUGCUCAAGGAAGAUUACUAAUAUUAUAUGAUCUAAGAAUCAAGCCCUAGAGGUUGCCACUACAAAGAGAGAUUUUUUUUGUUAAGAAUUUAAUUUUCACUAAAUAGUCAUUUUUCUUCUUCCUCUUGCUCUUUAACCUCUUGUUUUGGUUUGUUGUUUGUUUGUUUGUUUUUUUCUUUUUUCUUUUUUACUUUUGCAAUUCUCUUCUCCUUGGCUCUAGAUUUCCAAUUUGUGUCGCAAUAAUGGGGGAAAUGUCAAAACAUAUUCAAAGUAACAAAAUAUCUGAAUUUUAUUAUAAAAAAGAAAAAAAAAUCUCAUUUGGAAGAUAUUUAGCUUAGCCUAGUUUUUUUUGUUGGAAUGCAAAUUAGCCAAUUACUUAAAUUCGACUACUGAAAAGACAAGCAGUCAUGGAGAACUUGUUACCUUGCAAUAGAGAACCCUCUGUUUGUGUCACUAUUUGUGCUAUAAUAAAAAAUAAAAAAUAUAUAUAUAAAAAAAAACAACUAGUGCAUGUUGAUGUUAUUUUUGGUAUAUGAAAUCUACUUGAAAUUCAUGUGAAAGCAUGCGAACACCAGCUCAGCAAGACAAAUUGAACGAAGAUCAGAUCAAACUUUCAGAACUGACGUCUGUUCUAUUUGAACCCUGAAUAUAAGAGUCCGUUCCAUACACUCGAUGCUUUAGAGACCGAUCAAACUAAUUUUAAUUCCUUGGAGUUCAACUUCAUCGACAAAGUUAGCUGUGAACUGCUAUAGUGAAGCGAUGGACCAAUAAAAAGUGUGAUAGGGCGUGCCGCUCCAUCACGAGUUGACUUAAUGCUCCGAGGUGUCGAACGACCAUGUGAUAUUAAAGAGCGCCGAUGUGUGAUCGACUACUCAUGAACUUGCAUAUUCGACCAUUGGACUGCGACAGUAUCCGCAGUUUCUCGGUCACUAGCAAUUACACUUAGUAUAAAUCUGUUUGAAUCUGUUUGUAGAGUGGACUGUGCAUGGCCCCCGCCAUCUGACACGGAACAGUGAUAGAUACCAAACAUGGAUUAUGUGGUAAAGUCAUAAGCCAGGAUAAUUCAUCCACGUCAUCCAUCUAGGACAGUGUCGGAGGGGGGUGGGGGUCUUGGCGAACUCACCGCGGUUUCUGCUAGUAGCCCAGGAAGAUCGAUUCGCCGGAGGCUAGUCUUGGGUAUUGAGAAAUUAGUUAACUGGUCUCUAAUUUUUCAGAUAGCUGAUUUGAGCUUCUCGCCGGCCAAAUGAACAUUGCAUCUAUACUUGUGACAUCUCCUUGUUAAAAGCCAAGAUUGAUGUGGUCUUGGUCACGCCUGGCUUUGCAAGGGGAAACUAUGGUGCCGAUGUCCAGUUUGCGUUGUAAAUUAUAUUUUGGAUCAGGGGUAAUGUUCUUGCAGAGGAUGCUUUCAAGUGAUGUCUUCGCUAACGGUGUGUUUUCUUUUCCAAUUCUAAUUGAUAAAAUUGGUGCAGGAGGUCCUUUCUCAGAGCAGUUGGCUCCCUCGAGAUCUUAGGCCUGCAAAAUGCAGGUUGGUUUCUUUUAGCUAUUCUAUGGUUCUCUAUGUCACUGGAUGGCUAUAAAAUCUCCGAAUCAGGGCGUCAUCGGAAGCGCAUAAGCAGUGUCUCAAAAACAGGACGAAGUUUGCUGCCGUUAAUGGUGGCUGUGGUAUGCGCUCUGCUGCUUACUGGUCGGCUGCUAUGGUGCUUCACGUAUCUAAUCAAUGGUGAUGAAACGGGUAUCCUCGUUGGUCCUCACAGGACCAACACCAGCAGAGCGGAUGCAGGCGUACUAGGCAACAGGGAGAGUCACGGUUCAAUCAAGGUAGAGGAAAUCUUCCCAAGGGCCGCAGUACAGGAAGAAGUUACAAGAGACAACGAAGAAGAAUUCGAGGAUGACAUCAAAGACAAUAAAGCCGAUGGUAUUGAGGGUAGUAGUGAAGGAAUGACAUACGCUGAGGAAAAACUGGAAGUCGAGACCAAGAUUGGUGAAGAAACAACAGAAACGGUAAACAUUGAUCUAAAUCCAGGUGAUGAAGGUGAAAUAGACGAAGAGGAAGCUCUUACAAGAGAUAAUGAAGAUCAGGAAGGAAGUGUAAGAAUGGAUAAAUUUCCUGAUGCCAUUGCGUACUUGGAAGAGCUUGCUGCUAAUCUCACUAGUAAAGGUGUCGAGGACGAUGAUGGACCAUAUCAUUCUCGUCGAAUCUUUGAAUCUGAUUUCGCUGCCAUGAAGCGGAAUUUUCGAAUCUUUGUGUACCCUCACGACGAGCGCAACCCAUUUCAUGUAAUUUUUCAGGCAACUAACGCUAAAAAGUUGCCCUGGGCAAUUACGCAAGCGAAGAGUUCUUUCACCAAGGACUUCUGCAAAGCGGUUUCAUAACAAAGGAUCCAUCCAAGGCCGAUUUCUUCUUAAUGCCAAUUUCAAUCACCAAAGCACGCUUGGACAAGCGCAUCGACGUCGGAGGCUUGCAGAAAUUCUGCACAAAAUAUGUUCAAGAUAUGCGUUCGCAAUGGAACUACUGGAAUCGUAGCAGCGGAACCGACCACUUCUACUUGUCGUGCCACUCUAUUGCUCGCAAUGCAAUGGACGGAAUACCGGAGGUGCGACAAAAUGCAAUCCAGCUGCUCUGCCCUGCUAGCUACUUUCUUGCGUAUAACAUAACGCACAAGGACGCUUCAGUGCCGCAAAUCUGGCCCCGAAUUGGACGAGAACCCAAAGAGGUCGGCACUAUCACUCAGAGGUCCGUCCAAAAGCUCCAUACUCCAUACCUUGAACUUAUUUUUAUUGUCAAUUACCACGCCAGUCUUACAGGAAUCUCAAUUCACUUGUUUUGCAGAACAAGAUUGGCUUUCUUCGCAGGUGCCCUCAACUCCCCCGCACGACAGGUACUUAAAACCAUCUGGGGUAACGACGACAAAAUAUUCGUUCAGGAUGGCCGCACUCCGUUUCCUUACUCAGAGGGUUUGCUGACCAGCAAGUUCUGCCUUCACGUGAAAGGUUUUGAAGUCAAUACAGCGCGUCUUGGGGACGCCAUGUACUAAGGGUGUGUUCCUGUGGUGAUCGCAAACUAUUAUGACCUUCCCUUCCAAGACAUCUUGGACUGGACAAAAUUUUCCCUUGUGGUGUCGUCCCUGGACAUUUCCCAGCUGAAGGAUAUUCUUGAAGCGGUGACGCCUCAGCAUUAUGCGAAGCUUCACAAGCACGUGCUGCAGGCGAGGAAGCACUUCAUAUGGCACACUCCUCCUGAAGAGCACGACGCUUUCAACACGGUGAUGUAUGAGCUCUGGAAGAGACGGCAUACAGUUGGACGUCCCUUGUAGAUUGUGACCUUGCUGCCAUGGAAUUGUAAUACGUUUCGAUCGCGUGCAGAUUUGCAGCGAUUGAUGCAGCUCUGAUCCUCGUGUGUCAUACAAAACCGACCUGAGGUCGGUGAGACUAGACGUUACAGUGCAGCAGAUCAUAGAAUAUGAGAAAGCUUCAGCGAGACGGAAAUGGCUGCUGCCUUAAAUUCUUCCGACUUCGAAGUCAUGCCUACGUAGAAUGUGUUCAACAGCCAAAUGGGUGUUCUUUCCAAUCAUGACUACCAUUCAAGUUUAUAAUCAUGAGCUUGUUUGACAUUUUAACUUUCACAUUACAUUAACACAAACUUAGACACUAUGCUUCUGGCGCCUUUAAAUUAUCUAAAGCUUUUAUUAACGAUUUUCUCUUUUGUGUGUAAAUUGGUUUUAUGAAAAUUGGUCAAAUUGUUUAGAUUUUGAUUUAUUAUUCUAUAAAAUGAUUAUUUAAAUUGAUUUUUUGAAAGUAUUUGUAAAUGUAUGUUUGAGUGUAUAUAUUCAUUACUUUGUUUCAUUUUGUAUACUAAAUUACAUUUCUAAUUGUUUAAGUAAUCUGUUUAUACAAUAUGGUGUAUUGCACAUAAUCACAAAUGUUAUAGAAUUUUAAGAAAAUCGUCUUAAGUUUUGUAAUGAAAACAUGUGAAUACAUAUAUAUCUAUAUAUAUAAAUAUAUAUGUUUGUUUAACAGAAACAAAUAUACAAUGAUUGUAAGAUAGAUGAUUUGUGAAUUAUUGGUUUAUAUAUAUAUAUAUAUAUAUAUAUAUAUAUAUAUUCUUGUCUCUAUUGUUGAUCAAAUUUCCAUUUAAUGUGUGUAUUUUUAUGUAUUUUUCCUUUAAUUGAUAAUAUUAAUAAAAAAUUACUACAUUUGGGUUUAUGUGUUAUGCCUAUUUUAUUGUUAAUUUUUUUUCUGUAUAUUUUUUUCAUGUUUUGUGUAGUUGCAUUUUAUUUUUCUUUCCUACAGCAUUUUCAAGGUUAUGUGUUUAUUUAUUUAUUUAUUUUGGUAUAUUUUUUUUUAUUCAUAAUUCAAUUUAGUUUUUGUUUGAUAUUUACAAAAUUUAUUAGCAUAAAUCUUAGCCACAUUGUUUAGAUUUAGAUUUAUUAUUCUAUUGCAUAUUACUAUGUAUAAAUAACUUGAUUCAACAUAUAAUUUGCAAAACAGAGUAAGGGCUUUAAGUUCUGCUUUUUAAAUAUUUUAAACUAAAAUUUUAAAUUUUAAAUGAAUGAGGUUUAAAAGAAAUUUAUUAUAAUCUUUAAAAAUGCUAAGUGGUUUAUAUAACGAUAGUCUGCAUUACAAUUUUAGGUAUUAAAUUUUAUAUAUUUUUCUUUGUUUAUUAUUUUAAAUAAGAAACUUAUUAUUUUUUUAUGAAAUCUUAUUACGAAUAUAUAUAUAUAUAUAUAUAUAUAUAUAUGGCACAUCUUUUUAUAAAAAUUAUCAAUUUUUCUUUCAAAAGAGCAUAUUGAGAACCUUCAAUUAGAAAAAAAAAAAAAAAAAAAAAAAAAAAACUACACUGAAUAAGUUCUUAAAAUAUACUCAAAAUCGAUAUUAAAAUUUAAAAUUUAAUUUUUAAUUUUUAAUUUAUUUUUUGUAAUUUUAUGGGUUUUUUUUUUAAAAAAUAUAUUUUGGAUAUUUAAAAAAAUAGGAGUUAUAUUUGUCGUUAAUAAAAUAAAAUUUAUUUGUAUAUUAGAAAAAUUAGGAUUUUCUUCAUUAAUCUAAAUUAAAUAUUUGUAUAAAAAUAAUUAAUUAUAGUAUAUUAAUUACUACAUAUUAAUUAUUAGAGAUAAAUUAAUAUAUAAAUAAUCAAUUAUUAGUUCUUCAUAAUUAAUUAGGUUUUAUUUUUUUGUGUUAAUUUUUUUUUUUCCAUUAAUGUGAAAGAACCUCAAAUUAUUAUUUGCGGUUUCCUAUUACAUGAAGUAGUGCUUGAAAGUGCACCAAGCACUUGACUAAGGAAGAUAGAAUGGAAAUUGCAUUAAAAAAAUCUUAAUUCUAAUAAAAUACUAAAUAAACUCUAAUUAAACUUUAACAAUACUAAAUAAGCUUUAAUCAAAUUUGAAAGAAAUCUUAAAGAAAUUACAAAAGAAACAAUAAGAAAUCUUAAAGGAGUUGAAAGAAAAUCCACAAUAAACCUUAUAAGAAUCCUUAAGAAGCCUUAAAAUUUUUUAAAAUAAUCACAAUUAUAUCUUAAAUAAAUCUCAACUAGUUUCUAAUUUGACCCUAAUUGAAAUCCUAAUAGAUUUCAAUCAAACCCUAAACAAAUCCUAAAUCCUAAAUCAAAUCCUAAAUCUUAAAUCAAAUUCUAAAUCAAAUUUUAAAUCCUAAAUCAAAUCCUAAAUCAAACCUUAGAUCCUAAAUUAAAUCCUAAACUAAAUCCUAAAUCAAACCUUAAAUCAAACCCUAGACCAAACCCCAGAUCCUAAAUCAAAUGCUAAAUUAAAUCCUAUACAAACUCUAAAUCCUAAAUCAAUUCCUAGAUCAAAUCUUAGAUCCUAAACUAAAUCCUAAAUCAAAUCCUAGAUCAAACCCUUGAUCCUAAACCAACCCUAAUCCUACUCAAUCUAAUCCUAGUAUAAUUUAGAACCUCAAUAUCUAUCAAUUGAACUAUUGAUCUUGCUUAAAAAUUUUCAUACCUUUCAACAACUGACUUGGCAACAAGUACACAAAAUUUGAAGAUAACCCUACAUACCAAAUGGAAGAAAAAUCCUAAAUUCUACUUAGGAGUUGGCUAGCCUUCUACUCCAAUCUAAAUAUUGAACUUCUAGUGCCAAUAUUUUCUUAUUGAAUUGUUUAAUUAUUUUUAAAUUUUACAUAUAUAUAGAAAAUUAAAUCUAUUACUUUUAAACACAAAUUUUAUUUCAAUCCAACCAAUAGAUUGCUAAAGAUCUUAGAAAUCCUAAUUGCCUUUCAAAGUCUAAUUUUUGAGACCUCAACCUACUUGAAAUUUGAUAGCCUUCACUUCAACUCUUUGAUCAAGCUCAAACUUACAGCAUACAAUUUAAACAAUUAUUUUCAUAAGACAUCAAAUUUUGAAUUGUAGAUCUACUACCAAACUCAUGAAAUUCUCUAAAAUAUAAUAUCCUUUUUAUUUCACAAAUUUCAGAUUUAUCCAAAAUAACUAUAACUUUGCAAAGCUCUUCCAAAGUCAUUACAUACUUAAUUCUCUCAAAAUCAAUGCUCAAAGAAACCUUAUUAAGUCUGCUCUUAAAUUCCACUCUUUGAUUUGCCAAAGAAUCCCAAAGUUUUGGUAGGUGCUUGAUUUUCUACCUCAGGGUCUGAUUUCGAUCCAUGUUGAUAACUGGUCCUCUAUGGAUAUCAAAUUAUGCUCUUUUGAGCUAAUUUUUAUUCCAAUCAACUCCUAACUUCUUCUUACAUAUGUUCAUAUUCUUUAUAUUUCUAAUCUAUCUUGUUUUGCCUUAUUUGUGGCCUUACAAAGUAAGUAGAAGCCUACUUUGCAAAAAGUAGCAUUUAAAUCUUUAGUUCUACUUUCUUUUGGACUAUUGUCUAUUUACUAAGAUAAUUUGCUAUAAUAUUUGAAGUAAGAUAUUCUAUAAUAUAAUAGAUUCUUCACCCCUUUCACCUAUUAUUUGUAUUACAUUACAAUAGUGUGUAACUAUAUCACCAAUUUGGAUGUUAUAUGUUACAUCUAAUAGCAUGCAUACUUUGCCACAUAAUUUUUCAAUGCCAAACUUAUCUACAAUUCCUCACGUAAGCUAAUUCUUGAAAUAAAAUAAACUCAAAGUUAUAGAUUUGGUAAUAAGUAGUCUUUUAAUAAUUAAGAGAUUGCAAAAAUAAUUUUAGAAGUUCUAUGAUAAUAAUUCCGUCCUCUCUUUAUCAAAGAGCCUUAGAUUGGAUAGCACCUAUACAUAAAGAUGUAAUGGUUUUUUUUCCAAUUUAUGCAUAAAAAGACUUCUAAUUUAUUUAAAGAGUCACAUGCAAUGAUUUGAAAGAUAAAGAAUUUUAAUAGACUAUACGGCUAUAUAGAUAAGGUAAAGAAUAGACACAAUAAUGGAUGCGACAAAAUAUUUAAUCAAAAUAUUAGUAUUAAUUAAAUCCAACAAAGAUUUGUAAGUAUCAUACAAUCCUAUUGAAUCUUAUUAAUGUCUAAUCUUAAUCUCUAAAUGUCUUGUUAUAAUUUUAAUAAUACCUAUUCAUUUUCAAAAGUUAUAAAAUUUUAAACUCUUCAUAAACUUAAAAAUCCUAAUUUUGAUUCUAAAUCCCAAGAACAUUUAUAUGUAUAAAAUUUGAAAUUUUAAUUUUUAAUCUAAUAUAUUAUAUUUAUAGAUUUAUAUGUAUAAUUUUUUAAUUUUUAAUCUAAUACAUUUUAUUUAUAAAAUAUUCUAAUUAAAUUCUAAAAUUUAAAAUUUUCUCUAAAUAUUUAAUUUUAACUUUUAAAUUAAAAAAUUCAAAGGAUUGUAUGUAAAUUCUAUAUACUAGAUUAAAAAUUGAAAGUUCGAAUUUUUAUUAGAAAAAUAAAAUCCUAUAUAUUAAAUAUUUUAUAAAUUUAUAAAUCCUAAUUACAAUCUUAAGAGGUACUUAGGAUUGAAAAAGAAAAGAUGAGAAGCCACAAUGUUAUAUACUUUUAGUCACUUAAAACAUAAAAUCUCAAAAAUAUCACAGUGCUUGGUUACAAUUGUUUUUUAACUCUAUUUUUAGAAUACCUAAGUAGGUUGAGAUCUUCAAAUUAAUUUUACAAUUAAUGUAUAAGUAUCUUACACACUCAAUAUUGGUUAAGCCAACAUACUAAUUAUGAAGCUACUAUAAAUAAUAACUCUUAAAAUGACAUCAACAUUAAAGAUGUGUUCAACUCAUUUUAAGAUAAUCCAACUUUGUCAUUAAAAUUCUUAUCUCAAAUACAAGCAACUUAUCAACAACAACAAAAGGUACAAAUUUCCUUAAGCACCUUAUUUAUGGCACCAUCUACUUUUAAAAUAACAAUAAAACUUAUACUUUGUAGAUCUUAACAAACACUACUACUAUUGUAUUUUUAUAGAAAAAUUAUUCAAUUCGGUACUAUCCAAUUUAUUGUUACAAUAAUAGAAGAAGGCAAAGAAUAAUUAUUUUAUAAAAAAACCAUAUUAGAUCCAAAGUAGCAAGGAAUAAUGUGUUUCAAAUUAGAUUCUAUCAAAUAAAAUUAUAGAUAGAUAUUAGUCUCUUGUCUAAUGUCUAUUUUCUUAAUAAAAAUAAAAUAAAUAUACAAGAUCAAAUUUAGAGUAAAUAAUAAUGCAUCAAGAUUUAAGGCUAGAAUUAUAGCCAAAGGAUUUUAACAUCAAUAUAAUGUGAAUUAUAAAGAGACUUUUGCUUCAACUUUAAGAUAGAAAUCUAUUAAAAUGAUAAUUGUACUAACUAUUAAAUUUAGUUGGUAGAUUGUACUUGUAGUUGUAACAACAAAAUUUUUAAAUUGCAAGCUAUAUAAAGAGGUUUGUAUAGAAUUACUUGGAUGUGCUAUGCCUAAGCCUUUUUAUUUGAUAUUUAAGUUUUUUUUUUUUUUUUUUUUUUUUUUUUUAUAAUUUUAAAUAAAAUCUAAGAAAAUGGUAUAAUAAAAUAAAUUCAAAUUUAUCAAAGAAGAGAAUGCAAUUCACAAAUAUAAAUCCAAAUGUUUAUUAUAAACUCAAAAAAAAACUUUUUAUCAUCCUAAUUUUAUAUCUUGAUGAUCUUCUAAAUACUUGCUUACAUGUAUUUAAAAUUUCAUAACUCAAGAAAUAAUUGAGCUUUGUAUAUCAAAUUAUAAAUAUAAGAUUUUUAUAUAUCUAUGAAGGAUGGUAACAACUACCCCUCUUUUAAAUCUUUAAAAAAUUAAAUUACUAUCUUGGACAUUUCUUUUGGCUCUAAUGUCUAUCUUUAAUCUUCAACCUCUAAAACCUAGAUCUAUAACCAAAUAUAUUUCAUUUACCUUCUUUUAAUAAAGAUCCAUAUAUACAAGUACUUAAUCUAUAUUACAUGCUUGCUAGAUUGACACUCUAUUACUUAUACAAUCCUAAAUCUAGUUGAUAAGAUAUUAAACUAUUCUUUUAGGCUUAAGAUUUUUAAACCAAUUAUUUAUUCUAAAAUCCAAAUAUAAUAAUCUUAAAAAAAUUCUCUAAUCCUCAUCUUGGUUGUCUUUCAGACCUUCUUUUAAUUUCUUCUCUUUAAUCAAGUCAUAAUCCUUCUCUAUUAGAAUAAUAUGAUUCCAUAUUAUAUAUACUUCAUUUAUUUUAAUAUUAGCUUUCAUCCAUUUUAAUCUUCAUUCAUCUAUUUAUUAUUCCAUCUUGAUCUUUAUACAUCCAUUAAAUAUAAUUAUUACCAUUUAAAUUAAUAAAUAUGCAAAAUAAUUUUUUUUAAAUAUAUCUAGUAGUAAUAGAAUGUAUUGACCUACUUCUUUGAUUUGAUAAAUAUCUGUUUAAUAAAAAUGAGAGACUUGGAUUUCAUGACAAAGUUCCUAGAUAUUCAAAUGUUACAAAUUAGUAAAGACAUCUUAUUAUAUCAAAUCAAUUAUAUUGUCUCUAUCUUAAAAAAAUACUUUAUAUUUGAAAGCUUUCUAACAUGUGUCCAAGUUUUAAACUCUAUCAAGUUAUCAUAAGAUAUAAAAACUCCUUCAAUAAAUUAAAUAUUAUAUUAAGAACUAAUUAUUCAAAUAUACAAUGUUACAAAAAUCAAAUUUUAUAUUGGAUAUAUAACCUUAUUGGUCAACAAGUUUAUUCACAAACUAUAAGAAUUUCAUCAACAAAUCAUAUUCUUUAUACUCAAGUAUCAAAAAAAGUAUAUUGAUACUAAGUCUUUGGUUUCCAUACAAAAUAAAGAUAAUCUUUUAUAGCUUUUUCAAUACCAAUAAUAACAAAGAUAUUAGUAGUAGAGUCUCUAUUAGUGAUUAUUUAUUCAAAAUCAAGUAUUGUCCUAUUUUAUGGAAUAUUUAUAAAUAAAAAUCUACUAUUGGAUCUUUUUUUGAAGUAGAAUAUUGAACACUAACUUAGAAUACCUAAAAAACAAUUUGGCUAAGAUGAUUCAUUUAUGAGCUUCAAUUUAACACAUUACAAUAAAAAAAAUAAGUUUGUUCAACUACAAUAGAGACAAUGCGAUUGCAAUCUUGUACAAUACCUAAUAAAAAUCAUAUUUUCUUCUCAAAAUCUACUCUUUGUUUUACAAUAGAUAUUAGUUUGAGAUCCAAACAUCCCAAAGCUUUUAUCUUGUCAAAUUUAAGGACCUUAGCUUGUUUCUUAGAUAAAAAAUUUGAUAAAAGACAUAAUAUAUUUUUAAUGAAGGAAACAAAACCAAUACAUACAAAAGUCAUAGAUGGUCAUCCAUUGUCUUUUAAAGAUGUUAUUCAUAUAAUCCUUCUCAUAGAAAUAAUAAAUAAUAGUUACAAUAGCUUUGUAAUAUUUAAUAUCAAUAGAUCUAUUUUUAAUUUAAUUAUUUUAGAUUUAUUGUAACUAAAAAAAUAUAGAAUAGAUUAGAUUUCUUGAAGUCUUAAUUUUUUUAGAUUACAAUUAAGAUUUUUAUUAAUCAAAUAGAAAGUCAUAAGUCUAGUACAACUUAAUUCUUAUUGAUAGGUAUAAGAAUUUUGUUGUAUAAUAAAAAAAAAAUCUUCUUAUGUUAUUUAUAUCAUAGCUAUUUCUAACAAUAAAAAGACUUUGAGUGAUAUUUCAAGUCAAUAUUAAGAUUUUUAAGAUAUUUUUGAAAAAAAACACAUAGAGUUCAAUUGCAUUUGGAUUAAUCUAUAACUUAUUACAAAAUAAGUUAACUAAAUUCAAGAAAUAUAUUGAUAAGAACUUAUCUUAGAAUUUCAUACACUAUUUUAAAUCUCCAAUGAGAAUCCAUAUCUUCUUUGUGAAGAAAAAAGAUAGAUUAUUGUAGAUGUGUGUGGAUUGUUAAGGACUCAAUAAGAUUAUUAUUAAGAAUAGAUAUUUAGUAUCUUUGAUAUUUAGAUUUUUUAAUUAAAAUCAAUCAAAUUAAAAGGUAUACAAAAAUAAAUCUAUAAAAAAUAUAUAAUCAAAUAUCUAUUAAAAAAAGAGAUAAAUAGAAUAUUUGAUUUCAAACUAAAUAUGAAAAUUUUGAAAAUAAUAUCAUAUCUUUUGAGAGUAUCAAUACACCAAUUUCUUUUCAAUAUCUAAUAAAUAAUAUCUUUUGAGAGUUUUGUUAUUUAUUAUCUAGACAACAUCUUAUGCUAAACUAUGAAUAUAAAAGAAUAUAAACUUCAUAUUGAUUGCAUGUUACAAAAACUUUUAGAUGCAAGAUUCUAUGCCAAGAUAAAAUAAAUAUAUAUUUCACACUUUUUAAGUUGACUUCUUAAGAUACAUCAUUUCAAAUAAUAGUUUUAUGAUGGAUCUUAAAAAAGUUAAAAAUAUUAUGAAUUGGAAGGUUCUAAGAACAUUAAUAGUUGUUUUAUAUUUUUUAAGAUUUGCUAAUUAUUAUUGAAUCUUCAUUAAGAAUUUUUCUUAAGCUCUUAUUCCACUUAUAUAUUUGAUCUAUAAAGACAAAUUUAAGUAGAAUAAAGAAACAAAAAUAUUAUUUGAAGCUUUGAAGAUAGCUUUUAUUUUUGCAUCAAUUAAGUAGUGUAUUGACUUUUUUAAAAUAUUGUUCAUAGAAAUAAAUAUAUUAAACUUUGCUUUGAGUGUAGUAUUAUUGUAAAUAGAAAUAAAUAAUAAACUUUAUUAUUUUUUUUUCAUUCAAAAAGAACUCAUAAAUAGAAAUCAACUAUAAGAUUCACAACAAAGAAGUUCUUGCAAUUGUAGAUUCAUUUAAAAAAUAGUGCCAUUAUUUAGAAGAUGUUUCAAGUCUAGUAAUUAUUUAUACAAAUCAUAAAAAACUCAAGUACUUCAUAUCAAUACGUAGUCUAAAUUAUUAUCAAGCUUGUUGAAGCAUAUUUUUGUCAAGAUUUGAAUUCAAGUUCACGUAUUGGCUAAGAAAAUAAUAAGGUUUUUUAGAUGUCUUUUUUAGGCAUUUUAUCUUAUAUCAAAAGAAGAACUUGCACCUUUAAAUCAAUAAAAAAUAGUUCUCUUAAAAUCAAAACAAUUUCAUCUUUGAAGAAUGAAAUCAACACUAAUUAUUGAUUCAACUUUUCUUAAGUAAGUUCAAUCAAGUGUGUCCUUCAAUUCUUUUAUUUAUAAUAUUAAGAAUAAUUCUUUAAAAUCUCAUGAUACUUCUAAAUUUAAAUUCAACAACAAACUAUUCUAUUUUAUAUAUUCUAGAAGGUAAAAUAUGAUUACAAUGUCAUGUGAUUACACAACUAUAUGGUAAAAAAUAAAAUAAAGAUGUUAUUAUAGAAGAGCCUAAUAAAAUAAAGAUAAAUAAUAGAAAUGAGGUCAAUAUAAGAGUUUUUAUGGAUUAUGGUCUCAAAAAAUUGAAAUUUAGGAUUAGUGAGGAAUUUUAUAAUUUGGCAAUAUCUACUUCUUCGAUUGAAGCAAAAAUUAAUGAAAGUAAUUAAAACUUGAAUACCUACACACAAUAUAAUUUUUUGGAGCAAUUGAAUAAUUCAACACAGAGAAAUCUUUGUUGAAAGAUCAAUAUUGAAGUUAAAGAAGGAGGGCGGCCAACAACUAAGAGGUUUUGAGAGCUUUUCUUGCAAUUGGUAGGUCUAAUUUUUCUUAAAUUUUGUAUGCUUGUUAAUUGCUUCUUAAUUAUAGUCUAAGUAAAAAUUUAAUUAAGAUCUAUUGUUUAAUUAAUACUACUUGAGGUUUCAAAUAGCUGUAAUAAUUGAUUAAGAUUUAAUUGGAGUUUUUUUUGGAGCUAUUUAGAAUUUAAUAGAAUUAAUCUAGGAUUUAGGAUUUUACUAGGAUUUUAUUAGGAUUGGUUUAAGAUUUAGAAUUUGAUUAGGAUUUAAGAUUUGAUUAAGGUUUGGUUAGGAUUUAGGAUUUUAUUAGGACUUCAUUACGGUUUGACUUAAGAUUUGGUUAGUAUUUUUUUGAGGUUAUUUAUUAUUUCUUCUAAGUUUUUAUUUUUAAUAUUUCUUUAAGAUUCUUUGUUAUUUCUAAGUGUCACACAUCUUAGAUUUACUUGUGCAAAAAUAAUUGCCAAUGACAGCUGAUGAGGAAAUUUUAAAUAUAAAUUUGCAUCUACUUUGGUGUUUGUGAAUGCAGCAUGUUUAAGUGCAAUCUUGAGUACAUUGGUUUUCUCAAAUCUGGUUUCAAUUACUAUGGUCAUUUUGGUUUGAACUUUGUGUGCAAUAUGUGUGUAUUUGCACUUAGCACUCUGGUUUCAAUUACUAUGGUCAUUUUGGUUUGAACUUGGUGUGCAGUAUGUAUGUAUUUGAACUUAGCACACAAGACCGCUUGGUAUUCUCCAAUUCACUUUCCUAGACAAUAACCACAGCAUGUGUAUGAUUUUAAAGAUGCAGUAUGCAUUAGUAUAAAUAUGAAAUCUUAAUGGGGCAUACAAGUCAACUUGCCUAUCUAAAUGAUCGUUUAAAUUGAAAAAUAUCAAUCUAAACAUUACCUUUCUUCAUUCAUGUAAAGAAAGGAUUAUAAAUAAAUAAAUAAAUAAACGACAACAAAAUGCCAUAUUUAUUAUCUUCAAUUUAAACUGGAGAACUGAACGAGGUAACAGUAAAAUACAUGAAAAACCAACGACCAUCUCACAAAUACUGAUGAAAAAGAAGUGAAAUUAAAAUUCACGACAUGACACGAUAAUAUCACAUUCAGGUCAUGCUUGCAAAAUAAUGCCCAAUCACAGAAAUCCCCACUACAUUGUGAAGAAAACAUUAAAUUCCAUUGAAAAAGGUAUACUACUCAUGUCAUUGUUUGAGAAAACAACAAAAGUCUCUGAAUUUAUUCUGAAGAAUGGAUUGUUGCAACAAAUCGAUGCAACUUGCAGGUUCGGCCGAGAGCCCGACAGAGGGAGGCUGCAACAGCAACGAAUUUCCCGAAUGAUAUUAACGCCCUCCGUGCAUCCCCAGAACGCCAUGCACGCAUCCGCAGCACUCAUCCGCCUCCAUGGGUUCCAACCAGGAGUGCGACGCCACGCUCUUCUGCGGCAGCGCCGAAGGAGCUGCAAAUCGGAACUUCCUCAUCGUUCUUUUGCCGGCCUACAGACGCCGCUUGGUCAGACCGCAGCCCAAGGUCUCCUUAGGCAAACUGGGCAACUUGUGGAUGCCCUCCGCGAACACGGUGCCCAUUCCCAUGUAAAAAUGUGGUUCGACAUGGCAAUGGAAAGGCCACACGCCGGGAUUAUCAGCCACAAACCGGAUCGCUACCCAUCCGUUGGGAAACACCGCCACUGUGUUGCGUAGUGGCGGAUCCACCAAGUUGAAGCUCGCAACGUCCUUUUUGAGGUCGAAUAGCCCGUCGCCGUAGCCCAUGACCCAAAAGUCGUGGCCGUGCAGAUGCCAGGGGUGGAUCUCACUGUUGUUGGGAGUGCUGAGGGUGUUGGCAUUCUGGACAAUGACAUCCACGACGAUGUCCUUCUUGAAGAUGUACACCGGGCUGCCGUAGCUGGCGUUUCGAAACGCCGCAGACGGUGGGGAAUAGACGUCGUAGUUCUUGACAGGGGAGUUGGGCGGUGGAGCGGCGUCAAUCACUCCCCUGAUCUUGUACUUCAGCGCUGCAAGGACGGGCGUGGGAUUGUGGACGUAUGAAAUGUUGUUCAAAGCCCACUUGAUGCGCCCUUCGAUGUUGUUCUGUGUGCCCAGGAUCACCACGGUGCGGUGAGAUUUCUUGGGGGGUGAUGCUUCGCAAUCGACGUUGGCAUAAAUCUUCUUCGCCAGCGCAACGCUGGUGGCGGUGUCGUUCCAGACAGGACUUACUGGAGCGGCGGUGGUGGGAAGCAGAUUCGCUGGAUUGGGCAGGUACUGCAGGAUUGCGAGACCGGUGGGCGUGGCAGGUUUCCUGCCUCGCACAUUGAUGGAAGCCCAGUAGUUCUUGGAGGCGUCUUGGUUGGCGGUGAACAGCACGUCGUAACUCUGACCAGAAUACACAUCCAGAUUGUCGACGACGAAAGGCUGGACGUUGCGAGCGUCGGCUUGGACCACCGUCAUUUUAUGGCCCUCAAGGAUAAAGUUGAGGGACGACAGGGACGCGACGCUGGCGAUGCGCAGACGGUACGUCUUUCCAGGAGUGACUGGCAACACAUGAGGUGCGCAUCUAGGGUCGGUGGAAUUGCAGACCAGGCAGCCAGGGGGCGCAGUGGUGGCAUUCUGUGGAAGUAGAGAGCAGUUGUAUCUUCCGCGACCCUCUAUCAACAAGGAUUGUGGCUCGCCCACAAAUUUGAAGGGAACGCUGUUGAGGCCGAGCUCUUGCUCGUAAACAGACUUGUGCCACCAGUCAUUGAGGAUGAUGCUGAGCUCGGCAUCGUACGAGAACGGCUCCUUCUUGCCAGCAGGCAGGUCGACGAUGAGUGAGCCGUAGAUCCCUCCCGAGCGCUGCAAUCCGAAGUGGCCAUGGUAGAAGUAGGUUCCAGCCUGCACAUCGACAACCCCGAUCUAGUUAAAUUGGUCGGACCUAGUAGCGAUCACCCACAGAAUGGAUCAAUCUGGUGCCCAGCUAAAUCUCGCACUGUCAGGGGCGAAAUCAAGGACCUCGUGAAAGAUUCAGUGCGUGCCAGUCACGGGUGACACCUACAGUGUUCACAAAGCUCACCUUGUCAACUUUGAACCUGUAAGUGAAGGUCUCCCCAGGGUUGAUGGGGCACUGGGACACAUACGCGGCGCCAUCGUAGUAAGGCGUGCCCCUCUGAUGUAUGCCAUGCCAGUGAAAUGAAACUCCUUCAGUAGGAAUAUGAUUUGUCACCUGCACCACGACUGUAUCACCUUCUACAGCACGAAUUGUUGGGGAUGGAAAUUGGCCAUUCACAGCCAGAACCAGCUUCUGCACGCAAUCAGGGGCAGCGUUCAUGUAGUCUACGUUCCAGUCAUAGCUCACUACAGCUGCUUCCGCUUGCACCGCAAGCAUCAACGUCACCAACGCCAGACAUCCCACCCGAACAAGGGUGUCCUUCAGGUCCUGCAUCGUUUCUCACCGGACACUGGUAGCUCUGGACGCUAGUAGCACCUAAGCAAAAACGCAAGUCCGUCUGUGGACUUGAUGCUGAACUCUGGGUGCUGGUAUCAGCAGCUGGAGACGGAGUGGCGCAGCACUUCUGGGGAGAAGUCGGGGUUGAAUAUAAACUGGUUGGAUGAGUCGCAUUUGAACAUGUUGAUCGAGUGAUCUGUUGGGAUUCCAGUCGGAGGCCGCGUUGUAACGACUUCAGCUUGGCGCCACGGCUCGGCGAUGUAAUUCACGAUUGACCUCGAUUGGCUGGAGACCCUAGUGCAUAGACUUGUGCGGCAUGUGCAAAUCCGAUUGUUUGACUCAUGCCUUAUUGUGCGGCGGUUCUUCAUGGAUCUUUGUGGCGAGCAGAUUUGGAUGUGCUGUAAGCUUUAUUGUCCCUCUUUGCUUGGGGAGUAGCACUGUCGAAAGUGUUGUGCACGUAAGGAGAACCUUGAAAGUCAAUUGCGAUCUGCAUCUUUAGGGGUUAAGGCAAAGUUCCGCCGCCUUGGCUAGCAUGCUUUAUUUAUUUAUUUUUGGAAAAUGAGUAGGUUCAUAUUGUAUACCUUCUUGUAUGGCUCCAAUAUUGAGUGGCUUAUACAUACCAGGAGGAGGCCGUAUCCUCAUUUCAUACACUUGCUUAAAAUUGUAAUCCCAAAGUUUAUUUUUUCAAGUCUUUUCAAAUUUCUUUAAACAUUGUUUUUUUGUUUCGGAAUUUUGUUAUAGAUCAGGUUAAUGUCUUUUUGCAACAUGCUCCAUAACCUAACCUAUUAUUUUCUUUCAUCUAUUUAUUCAUAUGUCUUGCAUAUAGAUCACAUUAUUUCAUUGUUUUUAGAUACUUCAAAAUAUAAAUCAACAAUGAUAGGUUAUAACAUUUUUAUGUCUUUAAUGUGAUUAAGAAUUCUUCUAAAUAUAAGUUAUUAGAGAUGAAGUACUAGCCAUAGUGUAUCUCUUGGACCUUGCUUUCUGAGUUAAUAAAAAAUAAUGAUUAUCUAUUUCCUUACCUAUUUAUUUUUGGAUAUUUUUAAAUUUAGAAUUUUACUUAUUGCCUAAUUUAAUAAAAUAAAUAUUUUACAUUUUUUAGCAGAUAUAUUUUAGAAAAUCUUAAAUAUAAGUUAUUAUUAAAAUAAACAGUGGAAAAAAGAGUUAAAACAAGAAGGAAAAAUAUUAGUAUGAAAAGUUAAAACAAGAAGAGAAGACUUGAUUGUAAAAGAUGUUAGAUGAAGAAGACAAAGAAGUAGAAGAAGAGCUAAUAUAAAAAGGAUUAGAAGGAAAAAGUUAGGACAUUAAUGUAAAUAGAAUAGUCAUUAGCCGCACAUGUAUUAUAAUAGAUAAGGUGGUUAAGCUACCUUAGGUAGGUAAGAUAAUUAGAAAUAAAGUGGUUUUAGUAAAUUCAAAGAAUACUAAAUAAAAUUUAUUAUAGAUCAGUUAUAAAUAACGACAAAUUUUUAUUAUAAUUAUCAUAAAAAAAUUCAUAAUAAAGAAUUUAUAAUUAUUAUUCUAUUAUAUUUUUCUAUUAAUUUUUUUUAGAUCAAUUAAUAAGUCAUAAGUAUUCUAAGGUAGGAAUCAUAAAGAUUUUUAGGAUUCUCAAUAUAAAAAAGAAAGAACUUAGAAGACUAGAUUAAUGGCAACAAAAUUAGAUUUAUCAAAAGAAAGUUAUGUUCUACUUUGAAGUAAAUAACAUCAAUAGAAUACUUUAAUUUUGUCAAAGAAAGAACUUAAAGAAGAUAUUGAAGAAUUAAUAUGACCAAGAUUAAUUUAGAGUUUAAAAGCUAAAUGAAUGACUUCAACUAUAAUGUUGAAUUUAAUUCUAAGAACUUACAUCAAAACCACAAUUAUUGAAAGACAUAGAAUGAUCUUUGUUAAGAAUAGGUGUCACGGACAUACUCACGUAAGCUAGUAAUUACAUAUAUAAAUAAGUGGAAGUAAGUAAAAUUAGGUAAAAGUAAGUUAAUUCUAUAGUAUUUAAUUUGGAAGCUUCCCAGAAGCUUCAUAGAUGCUGUUUUGACUUCAUAGGUGUCUUUAAUUGACUUUUUGGAUUAAAAACAUGGUCAACAAGUUGGCCAUGUGCCACACAUGUUGUUAGCUUGAAGAUCAAGCUAACUAUGUGGCCCACACGUAGAAAAACUUGCCUUAUAAGUCAAGGCAUGUGUCCUACAAAGUCAACACAUAUUGAAGGUCCUAUAGAACAUUGCCACAUAGCCCCUAAUUAGAUAAUAUAUAUAGAGACAAGAGUGAAGCCUUCUUCACUCUUGUCAACUUCUUUCUUGCUUCUAGUCUAGUUUCAAGGGUCUCUAAUUUUCUUGUCUUUUGGCAAUAGCCAUUCCAGUUUCUCAUCAAUAUACAUACUUGUUUAUUUAGAUUUUAUUACCUUUCUUUGAGUGAAGGCUCACUUGUCUGAAUUUCUUUUUAUUGAGUUCUUGCCCUUGACAAAUUGACAAGGAUACACAUAUAAUAUCAGAGCUUUGUCUAAUCUUGAUUAAGAGUGGAUUACCUCUUUUUUUUGAUAAGAUAUAAGCAUAUUAGAGGUUGCAGAUUACCCUCUUCUAAACUGAUAUUGUCCUUAGUAUUUUUUUUUAUUCCCAAGUCCUCUCUUCUAUUUGUCUUGAGCGAUAUUAGACAUCUUCUCUCUUCUAAGUGUUAUCAUGAGAGAACUUGUUGAAAUGAAGAGUGCAAUGGCACAAAUGCAAGAACAAUUGAGGGAAUUAAUACUUGCGAUGCAUCAACUUAAUUUACCACUACAAGGAGUAACAAGAUUGGCAGGAAGUGAAGAUAUAGAAAUGGUUGAAGCUACUUCAACAUCUGCACCAAACCAUGUCCUUUUUCCUAUGGUGGAACGUCCUUCAAAUGUUAGAGAACCAAGAAUUACCCUACCCGAGAAGUUUGAUGGCACCAGAUCCAAGUUUCAAGGAUUUAUCAAUCAAGUACAACUUGUGAUUGAACUUCAACCCCAAAGCUAUCCAACUCUAGGAUCGCAAGUUAGAUUCAUUGGUAUGCUUCUUUCAGGUUCAGGACUAUCGUGGUUUUCAUCUUUUUUUGAAUGACGAGAUCCAAUAUUGGAUAAUCUAGAGGCUUUUUUGGCAGAGUUUUGAUCCAUGUAUAGAAAACAUGAUGCAAUUUGUGUUGCAACCAAUAAGAUCCAUAUUUUAUGACAAAACAAUCGAUCAGUAACGUUGUACGCUUCACAAUUUCAACAACUUGCAACUGAUAUCAAGUAGGAUGAUGCUGCACUUAUUAGCCAAUUUCUCUACGGAUUACAAUAUGAGGUAAAAAAAUUAAUGCUCAACUUAUCUGAUCUUCAAACAUUGAGUCAAGCAAUUGACUUUGCUGUAAAGUGCAACAAUCACCUUUUUGAAUUCCGAUCUGAGAACCGUACAAGUGGACCUCAACGUUACUAUAAUUCAAUGGCAACACCAACACCCCUUCAAUAAAUACAUUCGGAAGUAGAGGAUAUGUAAAUUGAUGCAGUACGUUUCAAACCUCUUACUGAGCAAGAAAAGACUCGUCGUCGUCAAGAAGGAUUAUGUUUAUAUUGUAGAGAACCAAAGCACACUGCUCAACAUUGUCCAAAGAAACGAUACAAUCACAAAAUGAGGAGUAUGGCUGUGAAAGAAGAUAAUAUGUUGGAAAACGAGUUUGUCCAGCUACAAUAGGGACCGUGCGGCUGGAACCUUGCACAAUAUCUAGUAAAGGUCCUAUUCUCUCCUCAGAGCCCUCUCCUUGUUUUACAUUAAAUGUUAUUUUAGGAUCUAAACAUUACAAAGUCUCUGCCUUGUUAGAUUCAGGAGCCUCAUCAUGUUUUUUAGAUGAAGAAUUUACAAAAAGACAUAGCAUAUCUUUAGUAAAGAAAACUAAACUUAUUCAUGUAGAAGUCAUAGAUGGUCGUCCAUUGUCUUCUGGAGAUAUUACUCAUAAAACCUUUCCUAUAGAAGUAAUAAUCAAUAGUCAUAAUAGCUUUGUAGUAUUUAAUAUCAUUAGAUCUCCCUCUAAUCCAGUCAUUUUAGGUUUAUCGUGGUUAGGAAAAUACAACCCUCAAAUAGAUUAGAUUUCUCGAACUCUUACUUUCUCUAAAAAUAUAACUAAUAGUGUAGUUAAUCAAGUAGAGAGUCAUAAAUCCAGUUCAAUUAAAUCCGUAUUUAUAGGUACAAAAGCUUUCUUGCAUGCUGCUAUGAAAGAAUCACCAUAUAUUAUUUAUGCCACACUUGUUUCUAUUGGUGAAAAGACUUCAAGUGGCAUUCUAAGCCAAUAUCAAGAAUUUUAAGAUGUAUUUGAAAAAAAGAAUGCGAAUACACUUCCAGAACAUUGUCCCUAUGAUUGCUCAAUUGACCUUCAAGAAAAAGCACAACCACCAUUUGGACCAAUCUAUAAUUUAUCACAAAAUGAGUUGAUUGAACUCAAGGAGUAUAUUGAAGAAAAUCUAGCGAAGAAUUUCAUAUGCCAUUUUAAAUCUCCGGCAGGAGCUCCAAUUCUAUUUGUGAAGAAAAAAGAAGGAUCAUUGCGGAUGUGUAUUGAUUAUCGAGGACUUAACAAGAUUACCAUCAAGAACAGGUAUCUACUACCUUUAAUAUCUGGACUUCUUGAUGAGCUGAAUCAAGCUAAGAUCUAUACAAAAAUAGAUCUUCGGAGAGCAUACAAUCUAGUACGUAUCAAAGAAUGAGAUGAAUGGAAGACUAUGUUUCGAAUUAGGUAUGGACAUUUUGAAUACAACGUCAUGCCUUUUGGACUUACAAAUGUACCAGCAGCUUUUCAACAUCUAACGAAUGAUGUUUUUCGAGAGUUUUUGGACAAUUUUGUAGUCUGUUAUCUAGACGACAUUUUGAUCUAUUCUAAGAAUUCAGAAGAACGUGAACUUCAUGUUCAUCGUGUGUUACAAAAAUUAAGAGAUGCAGGACUCUAUGCCACAAUAGAAAAGUGUGUAUUCUACACUACUCAAGUCGAUUUCUUAGGUUACAUCAUUUCAAAUGAUGGACUUAUGAUGGAUCCUAAGAAAGUUCAAAUUAUUAUAGAUUGGAAGAUCUCAAAAAUAAUAAGAGAUGUCCAAUGUUUUUUGGGAUUUUCCAACUACUAUCGAAUCUUCAUCAAAGACUUCUCUCGAGUUGUAGCUCCACUUACACAUUUGACUUGUAAAGACAAACUCCAAUGGAAUCAAGAAGCGAAAGUUGCUUUUGAAUCUUUGAAGACAACGUUUGUUUCUACACCAAUCUUGUAUUGUGUUGAUUUUUCCAAAGCAUUCUUUAUGGAAACAGAUGUAUUAGACUUUGCUCUAGGUGCGGUUUUAUCACAAAUGGAAAUAGAUGACAAACUUCAUCCAGUAGCCUUUCAUUCAAAAAAAUUCUCAGUAGCAGAAAUCAAUUAUGAGAUCCAUGACAAAGAACUUCUUGCAAUUGUGGAUUCUUUUCAAAAAUGGCAUCAUUAUCUAGAAGGCGCUUUCAGUUCAGUCAUCGUGUAUACGGAUCACAAGAACUUCGAAUAUUUUAUGUCAACAUGCAUAUUAAAUUGUCGUCAAGCUUGUUGGAGCAUGUCUUUAUCAAGAUUGGAGUUCAUCAUCACUUAUAAGCGAGAAAAACAACAAAGUUUGUCCGAUGCAUUGUCUAGAUGUUCUUAUCUUGCACCAAAAGAAGGAGAUGCAGCUUUUGAGCAACAAAGAAUGGUUCUCUUGAAGCCGGAGCAAUUUCAUCUUUGAGCAAUAAAAUCAACAUUGAUUGUUGAUUUAACUUUUCUUAAGUAAGUCCAGUUAAGUAUGUCUUCAAACCCUCUUAUUCAUGAUAUCAAGAAUAAUUCUUCUAAAUCUCAUGAUCCUUCUAAAUUUGAAUUUAAGAACAACCUACUCUAUUUCGAAGGACGUCUACAUAUUCCAAAAAGAGAAGCACGUUUACGUGUUCUUCAAGCUUGUCCCGACUUCCCAGCAGCAGGACAUUUCGGAUAUAAUAAGACUUUGGAACUGAUAUCUACGGAUUUUUGGUGGUCUCAAAUGUGGAAGGCAGUUAAAGAUUUUGUACAAUCAUGUGAUGUUUGCUCAAGAUCAAAAACUCCUCGUCAUCGACCUUUUGGACUUCUUCAGCCAUUAUCCAUUCCAAAACAACCAUGGUCUUCUAUUUCUAUGGACUUCAUCACGGAUCUUCCAAUCUCAGGUUCUUAUGACUCUAUAUUCAUGAUAGUAGAUCAUUUUACCAAGAUGGCACAUUUUCUACCAUGUACAAAAUCUAUCACAAGUGAAGAAAUAGCUAAGCUCUUUCUUGACAAUAUCUAUCGCUAUCAUGGAUUAUCCAAGGAUAUUAUAUCAGAUAGGAGAACUCAAUUUGUAUCAAGAUUUUGGAGGACUCUUUUCAAGAUUCUUAAAGUGGAUAUAAAACUAUCUUCAGCAUUCCAUCCUCAAACUGAUGGACAAACGGAGCAUGUUAAUUAAGUUUUGGAGCAAUAUUUAAGAUGUACCAUUAAUUACCAACAAGAUGAUUGAACAACUCUUUUGCCAUUGGCAGAGAUUGCUUACAAUAACACGGUACACUCUUCUACAAAACAAACACCUUUCUUUGCUAAUUAUGGUUAUCAUCCAGGACUUGAUACUUUUGACUUUUCAAAAGUUGAUAAUCCUGUUGUGAAAGAUUUGGCGAUUCAUUUAUCAGAGCUACAUGCAACGAUGAAGGCGCAGUUAAAAGACGCUCAAGAACAACAAAAUGUCAAUGUAGAUGUCUAUCGAAAGGAACAACCACCAUUCUUCUUGGGUGGUAAGAUAUAGCUACUUUGUCGCAAUAUCAAGACCACUCAUCCUUGUAACAAGUUGGACUAUCGAAGACUGGGACCAUUUUCUAUUUCUGCUCAAAUCAAUCCAGUUGUAUAUUAUUUAUAUCUACCGGAGUCAAUGAAAAUCCAUCCAGUAUUCCACGUAUCUCUUCUUGAACCAUACAAGACAGUGGACAUACCAAGAAGACGACAAGCUCCACCUCCUCCUAUAGAAGUAGAUAAUAAUGUAGAGUUUGAAGUAGAAGAAGUCUUAGAUUCAAGGCUGCGCCGAAAUAAAUUAGAAUAUCUUGUCCAUUGGCACGGAUAUGGUAUUAGUGAACGCACAUAGGAGCCAAUAAAGAAUCUUGUAAAUAUAACAAAGUUGGUAGAGGCUUUUCAUCGACGACAUCUAUCAAAAUCAAGAUGAAAACCUUCCUUAUAAAAGAAACAACAUCUAGGCAAGAUAACAUUCUACUUUCACUCCUUGUUCGUAGCUUCUUUGUAGUUGUGAUGCUCAGGAGAUGGAGAACCAACAAUCAGUGGAUUCGACUUAAGAGCCUUUAUUUGUUGACCUACCAGACAAGACAUUACGAUUGUCACAACCUUCAAGACGACACAAUCGAGAUGAAGAUCUUCAAGAAUGACAUAUUUUUCUUCGAAUAGAUGGCGAGAUACAAUGCGUUUGGUAUCAUGAUUUGUGAAGGGACUCCCGAUGUUUGGUGAUUUUGCUAGAGGUAGGAACAACUCCUGAUGGUAUUUCAAAUGUUCUAUUUGAAGGAAGUUAUGAAGGCCUCAACAAUGAUCAAAUAAUUGGGUGGUCUUCUCGCCUUGGUAUGGGACACUACCGAUGGUUGAGAGGCCCUAUCAAUCAUCUUCGAAGAGAACAAAGAUCAGAGUAUGUGGCGAAUAUAAUUCAUCGCAUCAUAGAUUUUCUCAACAUAUAGUGACUACUCCUCGUAGAACUCGUCCCUAGAAAGGGGGGUAAUGUCACGGAUAUACUCAUGUAAGCUAGUAAUUAUAUAUACAAAUAGGUGGAAGUAAGUAAAAUUAGGUAAAAGUAAGUUAAUUCUAUAGUAUUUAAUUUGGAAGCUUCCUAAAAGCUUCAUAGAUGUUGCUUUGACUUCAUAGGUGUCUUUAAUUGGCUUUUUGUAUUAGAAACGUGGUCAACAAGUUGGCCAUGUGCCACACAUGUUGUUAGCUUGAAGAUCAAGCUAACUAUGUGGCCCACACAUAGAAAAACUUGUCUUGUAAGUCAAGGCAUGUGUCCUACAAAGUCAACACAUAUUGGAGGUCCUGUAGAAUGUCGCCAUGUAGCUCCUAGUUAGAUAAUAUAUAUAGAGACAAGAGUGAAGCCUUCUUCACUCUUGUCAACUCCUUUCUUGCUUCUAGUCUAGUUUCAAGGGUCUCUAGUUUUCUUGUCUUUUGGCAAUAGCCAUUCGAGUUUCUCUUUUAAUAUACAUACUUGUUUAUUUAGAUUUUAUUACCUUUCUUCGAGUGAAGGCUCACUUGUCUGAAUUUCUUUUUAUCGAGUUCUUAUCCUUGACAAUAGGUAUAAGUAUAGAGAUAGCUCUUAUGUAAAAAUAUAGAAAGAAUAUUCUAUAAUUCUUUAGAUGUAAGAAUCUAGGUAUCACGAAUAUACAUACAUACUCUAAUAAAUGCCUAUAUGAUUAGAUCAAAAUAAUUAAAAAUAAAUAAAAGUAGAUUAAUUUCAUAAUACCUUCUAGAGAAGCUUUAUAGAUGCUGAUUUGUCUUAACAUGUGUUUGUAGUUGAUUGAUAAGCUAAAAAUUUGGUCAGCAAGUUAACCAUGUGUUGGUAGCUUACAAAACAAGUUAAUUAUGUGGUGCUUAUAUAAAAAGCUUGUCUUGCAAGUUGAAAUAUGUGUCUUGUAAAGUCAACACAUUUUGGAGGUUCUAUAGGAUAUUACCAUAUAGCUCUUAAUUAAGAGUAUGUAUAGAGGCAAGAGCAAAGCUUUCUUCAUUCUUGUCAACACCUUUCUAAUCUUUAGUCUUAUUUCUAGACUUUCUAGUCUUCUUGUUUUUGGCAAUAGCCAUUCUAAUAUAUCAUCUUUGAGUGACUUUCUAGUUCUUUUCAGUGUCACAAGAGUAUAUUGAGGAUAUCUUUCUUUAAGAUUCAUGUCCUUGACACUAUGUGUUUAUUUAGUGACUAUGUUACAAACAUGUUGCUAUUGCUAGUAAUCAAGUCCAUAGACUUACAACUUAAAUAAAUACACUCAAUGAAGAUUGGUAAUAUUCUUGAAUAAUAUCUAUCAAGUUUAUCAAGAAUAUUAAGAACCAUAAACAAUGAUGAUAUAAAGCAAUUAUAUAUUGCACAUUAAGCAAUGAGAAAUAAACAAAUAUGUAAAAAAGAGAAAAGAAUAGCAUUUGAUUUUACUCAAAAGAAGAAAAAAAAAAAAAAAAAAAAAAAAAAAAACAUUGAAGAAGGAUCUAUAUCAAUGUAUGUUGAAUGAAGGUCAAUUCUUAUAAAUAAGAAACCUCUCUAGAUUAAAGAGCUUUUGAAGCCAUCUAAACUUCAUAAGUAAAAAAAACCAAAUAGGAUAAAAAUUCAAUAAAAUUUGAAAAAAAAAUGAUGAAUCAAUAUUAAAAAUAAAAUUAAAGACUAUUAAAGAUAGAUAUUUUAUCAAGUUAUGAGCGGAGAAGCUAAAUCUCCUAGAAGUCCAAGGACUCUAAAGAAACAAGAUGCUGCUUAAUAUCAUAUAUAUAUAAAUUAUAUAAUAUAAAAAAAAAAGAUUAAAUAAAAAAGAUAAGAAUUGAUAAACAAAAUGUUGAAAGAAAAAAAAAUCACAAUCAAAGAGAAGGUUCAUCUAUAAUUUUCAAUUAAAGAAUCUCAAAGAAGAUAUAGGUUUUCAUAAUAAAGACCAUACAAAUUUGAUAAGUAUUGAUAAUACUAGUACAGAAGAAAGGAGAAGUCUUUUGAUCAUAGAAUAAUUCACAUAUGAAUUUAGACCAAUUCAAAUGCACUUAACUACAAGUAUAAUACCAAGAUAAUUUUUGAUACAACUUUUUAGUUUAUCUAUACAAUAACAUCAAAGGAUAUCAACUAAAAUAGUAUUUAUAAUUAGACAUAUAAAAGCUAAGUUUUUUAAAUUCAAAGAUAAGGAUAAUUUAGAUAUUUACAUAAGAAAAUUUAAUAAUAUAUGUUAAGCUUAUAGAAAAAUAACAUAUUUUUUUUUUUUCUAAGUAACUUAGAAAGAACUUCAAGAUUGAUUCAUCAUUUGAUUAAGAAAAAAGUAAUGGAGAACUUAUUGAUAAUCUUUCAUACCUCAAAUAAAUGAAUAAUAAAGACAUAGAAGAUUUUCUUAAGCAAAUAAUACAAGCCAUAAAUAAACUUAUUCCUCAAUUUUAUAACUUAUUUAAAAAGAUAAAGUUCUUGAAUAAACUAGGGAUAGAAGUACAUAAGUACAUAGCCUUAUUACUAAUUGAUGCAUUAGAGAAAGCCUUAUAAUCAAUAAAAACGAUGGAACUAUGUAUACAUAGAAAAAACAAGGUCUUAUGAUAUAGAUUUUAGCACCUCAUGUGAUAAUUUAAAUGAAGAAGAAAAGAAGAAAGUAACAAAAAGGAUAAAAAAGACAACUAAAGAAGAUUUAAAAGAAUUAAAAGAAGAAAUGGCUGAAUUGAUAAGUGAAUUAAAUAAAUUUAUGGCUAGAAUGGUUUUUGUAAGUAUAAUAAUAAAAAUAUUUUUCUUUUUAAAUAUCAUUUAAUUAUUUAAAAAAAUUAUAAUAUUUAAAUUUAUUAAUCAAUAAUUUUAUAUAUAAUCAUUAUUAUUAAGAUAAAAGUCUAGCAAUUAAUUAAGUACAACCGAAAUUAAAUAAGAUGAAGAGAAGAAAACCUAUGAAAAGAAAUUUACCUAUGAAUUUAGAUAAAAAUUAAGGACCCUCAAAUCAAAAAUAUUUUAAGCAGCUAUAAUACUACGCCCUCACAACUUUCAGCACACAAUUACCCUUGUUCCAAUCACUGGAAUUCUUCAUACAGAACUGCCAUUCACAUUACAGUAUUUUACACAAACACAGAUUCAUUCUCUAUGCUGAACUACAAUCAGAUUUUAGCAUUCAAUCUUUUUUCUUCUCAAAUAAUACCAAUCAUAUUUCCAUUCCAUAAUUCACUUCAUAAUAUUCAGAAACUUUCAAUCCUCUUAUUCAAAGAAAAUAACAAACAAAAGAAAAGAGGUAGCACCAAGCUUACCUCGGCUCACACUAUCACAGCGAUGGUCCUCGGCUCAUGACUAUCACAGUCUGGCCCUUGGCUUACGAAUCUCACAGUUUGGUCCUUGACUUACGACUCUCACUGUCUGGUCCUUGACUUACAACUCUCACAGUCUGGCACCCUAAUUAACUUCUACAACUCCUAUAUACUUUCCUCUGAUUCUCCAGAUUCUAAUCGUAAUUCUAUAAUUAAUCACUUUUAAUAACUAAAUCACUCAUCUGUCCUCCUAAAUUUCCUAUUAUAUGGACUAUUAAUAUAUUUUAUCAAUAUCUUUCAAAAAUGAAUUAAUAUCUAUUUUACAUAGUCCCACUCUUAUCUAUGUAGCUUCCUUGCAAACACUCAAUUGAUACCUAUCUAAAAAUUAUCUAACAAAACCCUACAAAAAUUGCGAUCCCUCUGGCCUAUCUAAUUAAUCAAUUGCCACAAUAUCUGUUAUUGGUUCCACCGAUUCCGGUUCCAACUGCAAAUCUUCGUCCUCUUCCAAUCCUUCCAUCGACUCCUGCCUCAACUAAGCUGAAAGGUCUUCAUUGUAUUCGCCGAGUUUACGAACUUGAGCUUCUAAUUUUAGGAUCUGGGCAUCUCUCAAUUCCAACUGGCACUGAAAGUGAUUCCUCUCUUCUGGAACUUUGAGAACUCGCAACAUCGAUACUUGUGCUUGACCAAUAUUGACUAAAUCCUCUGCCAAUCUUAUCACCUCGGCGUUCAAGGCCUCAAUUUCAGCCCUUAACUACUCCGUUUCACAUUUGUAUUGGUUACUCAAUACCAAUUUCUCUUGCGCCAAUAACUUGGCAUUUUCUCAUUCUAUUACUAAUUCAUCCUUUGCUUUUUCUAGUUCCAAAAUUGAAUUACUCCGAGCCCAGAAUAGUUCUUGCCUAUGGAUCUCCACCAUGCGUUCUCUUUCUUGUCACUGGCUCCUCACUGUUAACUCUUAACUGGAACUACUACGCUCGAAAACACAAAAAAUACAAGAAAAUGGCAGUCCAGCCAACCCAAAACAAAACCACAGAAUGACUUUAACUGGUGCCCCACUCCUAUUCUUUUACUUGGUGGUGAUAAUGACAACAUGUUACUCAUAUUGUUCGUGAAAGGUAAUGAGAAGUAAUCUUUCUUGGUGGCCACAUUAAGUUUCCGAAAAUCCUGACAAUUCCCAUUCUUUUUCGGUACCAUCACGAUUGACAAAAGUCAUGCAGUAUGCGGAACAUGAUAAAUAAAACCCACGUCAAGAAGUUUAUCCAAUUCCUCUUUCACUAAAAAGGAAUAUUUUGAGUUAAGCUAGUGUUGUCUUUGAUAAACUAGUAUAACAUCCUCCUCCAAAAUAAUCUGGUGCUCACACACGUCAACUGGAAUCCCUUUCAAAUCCGCAUAUGACCACACAAAGGUAGAUUUGUGAUGGACAAAAAAUUGUUAUCAAGUAUCUAAUUUUGUACUGAUAAUAUCGACAUAUAUUUUAAUUAGCUGUGGCAUUUCAUUAGUGCCCAGGUUAAUAGAUUGACACACAGGGUCUUCAACAACCUUUGAUUUAAUUGUCUUCUUCUAAUCUAAAUAUCUUGUAUUAUUCGACAUAUGAGAACCACUCAAAUCUGGUUCUAAUGUGUUGAUUCUAUUGACUGUGGAAUUGUUCAUCCAUUUGAUAAUAGCAUGAUCCGAGUUAGUCACAUCCUCCUGAUGUAAUAAAUAUUUGCCAGGACCUCCACAUUGGUAGACUCCUGCCUUUGCUGUUGAAGUGUUUUGUCCUACCCCAAAUUGUGAUGAACCUAUAGCAUCGUCAUCUGCCUCAAUUGAUUGACUCUCAUUGUCCGAUGUAAAUUCUGAUUCUGGUAAUUGUGAUUCUCUAUGAUAUUGUACUGGAUACAUCUGUAGAACAUUCUGGUCCCGACCUUUUCCAAUUGUCAAUGUGCCUCGGCCCCAAUCAUUCUUAGCUUUGGCUUGAUAAAGCCAAGGUCUGCCCAAUAAAAUGGGAUACGAUAACAUAGAACUCUGUAAUCGAAAUACAUUAUAAGCGAUUUUAUAUGUCAAUCCUGCGAUUACAGUAGCAAUAUUGCGUAAGAUUCCCAUUGGCUUUUCCUGACUAUGAUCUACCAUUCGCAAGACCAAUGUAGUAGGUAACAAUUGUUUUAGAUCCAAGUCCUCUAUUGCAUCCAUGUUCAUUAAAUUCACACUACAGCCACCAUCGACUUGUAUCCCUAGAAUUAAAAUGCCAUCGAUUGAUACAUCGAUUGUUGGUGCUCUCGGAUCUGGGUUUAAGCUAACUUCAUGAAUUUUUUUAGUGCGGGAUCUUCGUCGUAUUAACACUGAAUUCAAUGUAGAUUGAAAUUCUGGUACUACAGCCAAAAAUUACUUCAUUAUAAUUGAAGGCUGAAUAACAUCCAAAUCCUUCAAAAUGUCAUAGGAUUCCAUAUUUAGGGUAAUUCCCAAUGCUCUUUUACAUUUCAUUAAUUUUGAUUUUACUCCGUGAGGUAAGAUAUUCUUCCGCCCUGGACUCGGAAUUGGAACAGCAACUGGAGCUUCCUUGGAAUUCCCUCCCCUAAGAAGAUCUUUCAACAGAUAGGACAUUUCUCGAAACUGUGUAGAGAUCAGAAUCACUUGGAACGGAACUAAAGCCUCCGUAAUUGGGACCUCAUUGGGUUGUGCCACCGAGUCAGGUCUCAUAUUGGGUACAAAGCCCGUAACAAGACCUGGAUUGUUUGGUCCCGGCCAAUUGGUACGUGGAACCAAAUUAGGUUCCUCAAUUUGUUGAGGUCUCAAUAUUGAGAUAUGUCCCAAUAUUAAUAUUGGUUCGUUUAGCCCGGUGGACGGUGCUACUUGCUCUCCUAUGAUUGGUUCAUCCAUGUCCUGAAUUGGAUUCUUGUCUUUUUGUUGGCCUUUGGUAAGCAUUGCGUUCACCACCUCGACAUGAUGUACUGGUGCGUCUUGUUGAACAGGGCCUUUGUCCUCCGUCGAUUGCCUUGUUUGCAUUUACUGGUCCUGGUUAUUAUAAUUAAAGGACGCAUUACACUGCUGAUAAGUGUGACCAGACAGCUUACAAUUUCCACAUAUUGGAGCAUAGUCAUCACUAGCCAUUACAUUAGGACAUUCACUCGCAUAAUGUUCGAUUUGUUUGCAACGAUAGCAACGAAGUAGUCUCCUGCCAACUCCUUCAAGGAUAAUGGAUGUCUCUACGCGUAUAUAACGGCUAGGUCUGUUCCAUGUUGGAUGAGUAAAAGAUCCUGAUUGACCUAUUGUUACUGUAGAGUCUGGCAUUGGCUUCAUCACAGGUGGAUAUUGAUAGUAUCUUAGUUGGUUCAUUGCCAAUCUGUGAGUAUUGCAUACACCUUCUUGGUGAAAAUCAUAGUUUAGAAAAUUGAAAUAAUUCCUAUUUUGUUUAUUCCCUCGAUUUCCAUUCCAGCCAAAUCUAUUUUCUGUUUGCACUUGAUUGACAUCCCAUUGAGUUCGUUGAGUCAUUAUCUAGUGAUUGAGUUGUUGUUGCUUCUGUAAAUUCUAACAGUUGGUGGUAAUAUGCUUGCCCCUGCAACAGGUACAUUGUAUAGUCAUUUGGGGUGGUAAAGGACAUUCUAUUACUAAAUGACCUUGCCCCUUACAAUUGCUGCAUUAGACAUUGGGACACAUAUUGGUUGGUUUAUGCCUUUUUUCUAUAUUCUUGGCCAGAUUUACAGCCAAUUCAUCCAUUUUUUUCAUCAAUGUUAACAGCAAUGGCUCAUUGGGAUUCCUUGAUAUCAAUGCAUUUGGCAAUUUCUUUGUAGGUUUUUGAUACGCAGAAUAAAGCACAUAUAGGUGUGAUGAUGAUGGUGGUACAGCUUGCAAUGGAAUGGCAUCCACUAUUCUCUGUGGAAUUAUACCAUAAUCAUUCCUUCCCAAAUAACUUUCCGAUGCGUCAUUCCAAUUUGUCAUUUGAUAACCUCCUUGAGAUGGAAUCAUUGUGGCUCCAAUUGUUAAGUUCUGGUCAUAGUGACAUUCUUUCCAUACUUUUGCUUGCUUAAGAGAUGAUGCAAUGGUGGCUGAUUGAGCCUCUUUUACAAACAUCUUCAAUUUUAGUGGGUGUAGUCCAUUAACCAAUAUGGACAACACAAACGAUUUUUACAUUUGGUUAUUUGGCCAUUUUCAAAAUAUAUCUACUACACGACCAUAAUAUGACUAUACCGCUUCCCCUGGUACCAUUUUACAGGUCAUUAAUUUUUCUCUAAGACGUUCUUCAAAACCAAUUGGUCGAAAAUGGAUUAAAAAUGUAUUUUUCAAUGCCUCCCAAUUGAUAAAUUGUCCCAUAGGUUGGCGGUUAUACCAAUCAAACGAUGUGUCUUUCAAUGUCGCUGGCAGCCAUCUUAACCAAAUGUCUUCUGUUCUGCCAUUAUUGGCUACACAUGUCGUCAAGAAUUGAGAUAAAUAUUGAUCUGGAUCUGCACUUGGCAAACCCCAAAAAGUAGGUAGUGGCACGAUACUAGUCAUACAAUCGCCUACUGCACCCAUUUGUAUUGCAAUUAAAACGGCUGGUCCUCUUGACGCCAUUGAAUUUCUUAUUCUACUAAAUUCUAUUUUAAAAUAAUCUCUGCUUUUCCUUAUUCUUAUUUUCGAGCUCUCAUUGGCCCUCGAUUUAUUGUUAUUUUCCACAAUUAGUUUUAUUGGUUGAAUUGUAGGUAAAAACGUCAGAUUUUAAAAUACAAUAUAGUUAUUUUUAUUGGCGACCAAUUUGUGCCAAUCUGAAGAGCCACUAUUGCUCAUUUCAGCGGUACUCCCUACUAAAAAAAUACCCAAUGGAGUACCAAAUUCUUCUAUGCCUCCUCUUUCAGUUAACGGCCUCAAGAUUUUCACUCGAAUGUUAACAUAAUUUUUCGCGAGUGUUCUUGGCAGUUUUUCUAACGGUACAUACGACUGCAGAUUUAAUACUUUGUCCGGUUCUUGAUAUGUUCGGAUACGUUGACAAGCUUGCAACCAUGGUUUAAUCCAAUACUGUCGAUGCUUCCUUUUAAGAUUACGUUCUUGCUCCUCUCUAAGCAAGUUCCUUCCUUGCGCUCUUCACUAUCUUUCUCACAACUGAUUUAUUUUCUUUGAUGCAAUGCUCUCGUUCUUAUUAACCAUAAUCUUACUUCAAACACUACUGAAAUCGUCUUUCAUUGCCAAUUUUCUCACACGUUUGGUAAUUAAUUCCUAACACUCAAAGCUAUUAUCACUCCCCGGUAGUGGUGCCAAAAUGUGAUUGCUCGUUUUACUUAUUCCAGAAGAAACCUCCCAGCAUAAACCCAUAUAGGGGGAUUCGAACAUGGAGAAUGACUAGUUGCUUAAGCGUUCACGUUAGGAUCAUACAAUCAAUUAUCUCUUGAAUGUAUUGUCUCUAUUUCCAAUAUCUGAACACACAAGGAAACUAUAAUCUCCUCCUUCACCUUAUCGGUCUCUUCCUUACAGCAAUUCAGUCAUAUUGCUAUUUCUACCAAUAUAUUCACCCUCAUAAUCUCCAACUGUAAUACUGCGCCCUCACAGUUUUCAGCACACAAUUACCCUCGUUCCAAUCACUGGAAUUCUUCACACAGAACUGCCAUUCACAUUACAGUAUUUCACACAAACACAGACUCAUUCUCUCUGCUGAAUUACAAUCAGAUUUCAGCAUUCAAUCUUUUUUCUUCUCAAAUAAUACCAAUCACAUUUCCAUUCCAUAAUUCACUUGACAAUAUUCAGAAACUUUCAAUCUUCUUAUUCAAAGAAAAUAACAAACAAAAGAAAAGAGGUAGCACCAAGCUUACCUCGGCUCACACUAUCACAGCGAUGGCCCUCGGCUCAUGACUAUCACAGUCUGGCCCUCGACUUACUACUCUCACAGUUUGGCCCUCGACUUACUACUCUCACAGUCUGGCCCUCGGCUCACAACUCUCACAGUCUGGUACCCUAAUUAACUUCUACAACCCCUAUAUACUUUCUCCUGAUUCUCCAGAUUCUAACCGUAAUUCUAUAAUUAACCACUUUUAAUAACUAAAUCACUCAUCCGUCUUUCUAAAUUUCCUAUUAUAUGGACUAUUAAUAUAUUUUGCCAAUAUCUUUCAAAAACGAAUUAAUAUCUAUUCUACAACCAUCAAAAUGGUUAUAUAAAAAUAGACUAUUAAUUAUGGUUUAAACAUUAAAAAUAUAUCAAUGAGAUAUAUGGACAAAAAAAGCUUGUUGUAGCUACAAAUAUAAUAAUCCAAAAGUUUGUAUAAUGACCUAAGCUCUAAGAGAAAAAAUUAUAAUUGGAGAUUAAGAAUCCAAUAGUAAUAGUAGUAAUGAAAAAGAUGAAGAUGGAAGUAGAGAACAACUUGGAUUGAUUAAUCUGAAAGAGUUAAAAGAAAAAAAAAUCCUAAGAAUAGGAGGAUGAAAGAAAGAUACAUAAGAAUGUAACUAGAGAAGUUAAAUAACUACAAAAAGAAAUAAAAAUUCUAAUAUUAGAGGCAAGUUUAUCUAAAAUAAUAAAAUAAAAUAUAAAGUAAAAAAGACUAAUAAAAAUAAGAAGAAAAAAGGAUUAAAAAAAAAAUAAGAAAAUUAAAAAGAUUAUACGAGAUGUAUUUUGAUAAACACAAGAAAAUAUUAUAAUAAGCCAAUUAUUAAAGUUAGUUCCAUAUUGCAAGAUUAUAGAGGUAUUUCUUUUUAUAUGCAUAUUGAUACCAAGCACAUUAAAAAUUUAUAAUCUUAGCAAUCAAGAUUAUGAUAUAAAAAUAUUUAUAAUUACUAAAAUAAAUUAAUCAUGAUAUUAUAUAAAAUAUAUUUUUAGAUAGUGGUUUAGAAAUGAAUAUCAUCACAAGUGAUUUGCAUAAAAAAUAAAAAUAUAAUUGGAUUGAACCAAUACUUUUUUCAAUCAAAAUAGUUGAUCAAUAAAAAGUAAUAUCAAUAGAUAUUAUUAGAAACUUAUAAAUUUAAAUAAGAUAUUUUACUUAAAACAUCACAUUAAUAGUUUUAAAAUUAGAGUCAAUUUUUCAAAAUUGUUCUAUGCUAUUAGCUUGACCAUGGCUUAAACAAACAAAGUCUAAGCAAUAUGAGACUCAAAAUAUUUUAAUUAUUUUUUCAAAUAAUAGAAAAAAAAAAGAUUAAUACAUAAAAUAUCUAUAUCUUCUACCAUCAAAAUAACCUAUGUAUUUAGAAUAUUAUAAUUAAAAAAGAUUUUUGAUUGAUAAAAAAGAAUAAAUGAUUUAUCAAGUAGUAUCCUUAUUACAUUCAAUAACUAAUGUUGAAUUAUUAGGAUUAAAAGAAAUAUUUAAUUAUAACCAUAAUUUUAUUAAAAUAAUAAAAUAAAAUAAUAUAAAAUCUAAAAAAAUAAUGAUAAAUAUAUAUAUAUAUAUAUAUAUAUAUAUAUGAACCAAAAACCAUAUGAGAAGAAAAAUUCAUCAAAUAUCUAGAUUAUUUCUAUGUAAUAAGAAAAGAGACAAGAUAGCUAGAUCUAGCUCUAGCAACAAAGACAAUCAAGAACAAAUUCAUCACCUUUUGGACCAUUAAUGAGAAAAAAUAAGUAAAUAAAGUAAAUUUGGAGAUUGAGAAUAAAUUAAGAAUAAUUAAGAUAGAAUGAUAGAAUGAUAAAAAAUAUAAGAAAAAAUAAAUAAAAUUAUUACAAAAAUACAAAGUUACUUUUGCAUAGGUGUAGAAUAUGUAAAUAAAAUUUGUGGUAAGUUACUGGUUGGUUAUUGACAACCUUGAAAAUUAGACUUAUGGUUAGGUAGUUUAGUUGGUAACAGUAGGUUGUUAGUAGAACAAAUGGUUAAGAAUUCAAAGGUUCAUAACCUUUAAAAUCUGCUAGCCAACGGUCCAUCUUUUGGUAGGAUAAAGAAGUUGAGAAAAGGGAGAUCAGGGCCAGACUAUGAGAGUCAUAAGUCAGGAUAAGCUUGGUGCUAUCUCUUUUUUUUCUUUACUUUUAUUAUUUGCUUAUGAAGAAUUGUGAUUGAGAGAAGUAUUGUUGAAACUAUGAUUAGAAUAUUAUGGAAUAUGACUUUGGAUUGACCGUUUUGGAAAAAAUCUAUGACCUUGAAAAUUGAGAUUAUCGAAUUGAGUUGUCUUAAGUGAGGAUAUUGAAUUCUAUGUGAUGAAUUGAGAAACUGAAUAUAAUAAGAAAGCUAGAGAUCAGUAAUUGAAUAUAUAUAAAUUGCAAAGAGAAUAAGUGGGAGAUGAACUCAUAAGAAUAUGAAAGUAUUGUUGAAUUGAUAGUCAUAGAAUGGAUUUUGUAUUGAAUUAAGACAAAAGUAGUAAGCCUUGGAGUUUUGUAGUUUGAUAAUUGAUUUCAGAUAGCCAGAGUACAGUCAAUUGUGACACUAAUAGACCCAAUUCAUAUAACCAGUCUUUCUCCAUGUUCAAAUCUACCUCUAUUAGUUCAAUUGCUUUGGUAUAUUGAAACUUGAACACAACGAGAACAAAAUUUUGAUGCUGCUGCCGGGGAAAUGAUAACAAUAUGAAAUAUUAGAAAUUGAUUGUAUGGGAGCUGGAAUUAUAUAUUGAAUGAGAACGUGAGAAGAACUAGUUUUAGGAUUACAAAUAUAUGAGUUAUAAUUGAAGGCAAUAUUGAAUUUGUAAAGAAGAAUGAAAGAUUAUGAGUGAUAAUCAUGAAGGGAAAGAUUAUCAAAGAAUUAAUCGAUAAGCAAAAGAAAGACAAGAAUAAUUAUUCAUAAGAAAUUUCCUAUAGGAAUGACAAAAAGGAAUUAUAGGUCCAAGUAAAACCAAAGGAAGAAAAAUUCAAAUUCAAAUAGCAAGGAGACCAAUGAUAACACCAAUGGCCGUAGGAGUGCCAAAAGUACCAAUUGUGGUAUAAAUAGGAGCAGUAGGAGACCGCACCACAAGUGUAGCAAUAUUACCUAGUUUUAGUGGUUGGCUGGGCUCUAAUCUUGAUCACCAUAUAUCUCAAUUCUUUACAAUUUACGUGGCUAAUAAUAGUAGAACUGAAGAUAUUUGGUUGAGAUGGUUGCGAAUAACUUUAAAAGAUAUAACUUUUGAAUGGUAUAAUGAGCAACUAGAGGGUAGAUUUUUCAAUUGGGAGGCCUUAAAGAAUGUCUUCAUAAUCCAUUUUAGACCAAUUGGAUUUGAAGAUCGGCUUAGAGAAAGUUUUAUGAAUAGCAGGUGAUUUGCGGGGGAAUCAGUAGAGUCCUAUUAUGGCCGGGUCGCGAAUAUACUUCGUAAAUGGCCAAAUAAUCAAAUGCCAGAUGCGUUUAUAUUGUCGAUAUUAAUCAAUGGUUUACAUCCACCAGAAAUAAAAAUAUUUGUAAUAGAGGCUCGAUCAGCUACGAUAGAGGCAUCGUUGGUACGAGCAAAGAUGUUGGAAGAAUGUCAUUAUGACCAAUUGUUAACAGUGGGGACCAUGAUGAUUCCAAGUUCAAGAAGCCAACAAAUACAAUUGAGAAAUGUGUCAAUGGAUAAUUAUCCACAAAUGGUUGACUCCAAUGUGAAGAAUGUUAUGUUGCAAAAAUCAAUUAAUGCUACCCCACUCCAAGCAAUAGUGCCAAUAACAAUGACAUCUUAUUUUACAUCACCAACCUAUCAAAAACCAAAGUUGUUCACAAAUGCAACUAUUAAAGAUUCAAAUGAAGCCUUGUUAUUAAAUCUAACAAAAAAGAUGGAAGAAUUGGCAGCGAAUCUAGCUAAGUAUAAGGAGAAACAACAUAAGCUUUCUAAUAUGAGACGUAAUGUAUGCUAUAAUAAUUGUAAAGGACAAGGUAAUUUUGAUACGGAAUGUCCAUCAUCAAGACAAACGGGUCUUCAAUGUACAUUUUGUGGAGAAAAGCACCCUACCCAAAAUUGUUGUCAUUUACAAAGGCAACAACAAUUAAAUAUCCAAAAUUUAAUAUAGCCAACUAAUUGGGAUGUUAAUCAAGUACAGAUUGGAAAUAUGGGUUGUUGUCACGGCCAUAAUCAUGUAAGCUAAUAAUUACAUAUAGAAAUAGGUAGAAGUAAGUAAAAGUAGAUAAAAGUAAGUUAAUUAUAUAAUAUUUAAUAUAAAAGCUUCCUAGAAACUUCCUAGACGCUGCUUUGACUUCAUAGGUGUCUUUAAUUGACUUUUUGGAUUAGAAACGUGGUCAACAAGUUGGCCAUGUGCCACACAUGUUGUUAGCUUGAAGAUCAAGCUAACUAUGUGGCCCACACGUAGAAAAACUUGCCUUGUAAGUCAAGGCAUGUGUCUUACAAAGUCAACACAUAUUGGAGGUCCUAUAGAACGUCGCCACGUAGCCCCUAGUUAGAUAGUAUAUAUAGAGACAAGAGUGUAGGCUUCUUCACUCUUGUCAACUCCUUUCUUGCUUCUAGUCCAGGUUCAAGAGUCUUUAGUUUCUUGUCUUGUGGCAAUAGCCAUUCCAGUUUCCUUUUAAUAUACCUACUUGUUUAUAUUUUGACUUAUUAUAUCGAGAUAGCCUUUUGGUGUAUAUUUUCCCUCAUCGAGUCUUUGUCCUUGACAGAUUGACAAGAGUACACUUACAAUAUCAGAGCUUUGUUUUUUCUUGAGUAAGAGUGGAUUACCCCUUUCUCUUGACAAGACAUAAGCGUAUUAGAAGUUUGCGGAUUACCCACUUCUAAACUGAUAUUGUUCUUAGUAUCUUCUUUGUUAUCAAGACUUUCUUUUCUUUUGUCUUGAGCAAUAUCAAACAAAUUUUUCUUCUUAGUGUCAUUAUGGCAGAACUUGUUGAAAUGAAGAGUGCAAUGGCACAAAUGCAAGAGCAAAUGAGGGAGUUAAUGCUUGCGAUGCAUCAACUCAAUUCACCAACACAUGAAAGAACAAGAAUAGCAGAAAGUGGAGAUAUAGAGAUGAUCGGAGCUGCUUCAACAUCUACAACAAAUCACAUUCCUUCUCCAAUUGUACAACACCCUAUAAGCAUUAGAGAACCAAGAAUUGCCUUACCUGAGAAAUUUGAUGGUACGAGAUCAAAGUUUCGAGGGUUCAUCAAUCAAGUACAAUUGGCAAUUGAACUUCAACCGCAAAGCUAUCCAACUCCAGGAUCACAAGUCAGGUUUAUUGGCACUCUACUUUCUGGUUCUGCAUUAUCGUGGUUUUCAUCUUUUCUUGAACAACGAAAUCCAAUAUUGGACAAUUUGGAAGCUUUUUUGGCAGAGUUUCGAUCUAUGUAUGGUGAACACGAUGCAACUCGUGUUGCAACAAAUAAGAUCCGAAUUCUGCGACAAGGAAAUCGUCCAGUAACAGUAUAUGCUUCACAAUUUCGACAACUUGCAAUUGACAUCAAGUGGGAUGAUGCUGCACUCAUCAGUCAAUUUCUUUAUGGAUUGCAAUACGAAGUAAAGAAAUUGAUGCUCAACUUACCUGAUCCUCAAACUUUGAGUCAAGCAAUCGAUUUUGCGGUAAAAUGUGAUAAUCGACUUUUUGAAUUUCGAUCUGAGAAUCAUUCACGGGAACCUCAACGUUAUUACUCAAUGGCAACAUCAACAUCUUUGCCAAACGUACAUUCGGAAGUAGAAGACAUGCAAAUUGACGCGUUACGUUUUAAACCCCUAACUGAGCAAGAAAAGAUUCGUCAUCGUCAAGAAGGAUUAUGUUUAUAUUGCGGAGAACCUAAACACACUGCUCAACAUUGUCCAAAGAAACGACGCAACUAUAAAAUGAGGGAUACGACGGUCAAAGAAGACAACAUGUCGGAAAACGGAUUCGUCCAGCUACAAUAGGGACCGUGCAGCUGGAACCUUGUACAAUUCCUAAUGAAGGUCCUAUCCUCUCCUCAGAACCCUCUCCUUGUUUUAUAAUAGACCUAUAUUUAGGACCUAAGAAUUACAAAGCCUCUGCUUUAUUAGAUUCGGGAGCCUCAGCAUGUUUUUUAGAUGAACAAUUUGUUAAAAGUCGUAAAAUAUCCUUUGUACAGAAACCUAAACCAGUACAUGUAGAAGUCAUAGAUGGUCGUCCCUUGUCUUCUGGAGAUGUCACUCAUGAAACUCAUCCUAUAAAAGUAACAAUAGACGGUCAUGAUAGCUACAUAGCUUUUAACAUAAUUAAAUCCCCGUCUAAUCCAGUUAUUUUAGGUUUAUCCUGGCUAGAAAAAUAUAACCCUCGAAUAGAUUGGAAUUCACGUAAACUUGACUUUUCCAAAAGCGUUAUUAAUAGUUCUACGAACCAAGUAAAAAAUUAUAAGUCUAGUACACUAAAACUCGUACUGAUAGGUGCAAAAGCAUUUAUACACGCAGCAAAAGAAGGAUCAACUUUUGCUAUUUAUGCUGCACCUAUUUCUGAAAACGUAAAGACUUCAAGUGGCAUUCCAAGUCAAUAUCAGGAGUAUCAAGACGUUUUUGAGAAAAAGAAUGCAGAUAUUCUUCCUGAGCAUCGCCCAUAUGAUUGUUCAAUCGACCUCAAGGAAGGAACUCUGCCACCAUUUGGACCAAUUUACAGUUUAUCGCAAGAUGAGAUGGCUGAACUCAAGACAUAUAUUGACGAGAAUUUAGCGAAGAAUUUCAUACGCCAUUCAAAAUCUCCAGCAGGAGCUCCAAUUCUAUUCGUAAAGAAAAAAGAUGGAUCUUUACGAAUGUGUGUUGAUUAUCGAGGACUCAACAAGAUCACAAUCAAGAACAGGUAUCCAUUACCUUUGAUAUCAGGACUCCUUGACCAGUUGAAUCAAGCUAAGAUCUAUACAAAAAUAGAUCUAAGAGGAGCAUAUAAUCUAGUACGGAUCAAAGAAGGAGAUGAAUGGAAGACUGCGUUUCGAACCAGGUAUGGAUAUUUCGAAUAUAAUGUCAUGCCCUUUGGACUCACGAAUGCACCAGCUGCUUUUCAACAUCUCAUGAAUGAUAUAUUUCGUGAAUUCUUAGACAAUUUUGUCGUCUGCUAUCUAGACGAUAUCCUGAUCUAUUCCAAGAACGUCGAAGAACAUGAAAUACAUGUUCGUCAAGUAAUUCAAAAACUCAGAGAUGCAGGAUUGUACGCCAAGAUGGAAAAGUGUGUAUUUCACACUACUCAAGUUGACUUUUUAGGAUACAUCAUUUCAAAUGAUGGUCUCAUGAUGGAUUCUAAGAAAGUCCAAACAAUCGUGGAUUGGAAGAUUCCAAGGACGGUAAGAGAUGUCCAAUGUUUCUUGGGAUUUGCCAAUUACUAUCGGAUCUUCAUCAAAGAUUUCUCACGAGUUGCAGCUCCACUUACACGCUUGACUAGUAAAGAUAAAUUUCAAUGGAAUCAAGAAGCGGAAGCAGCAUUUGAAGCCUUGAAGACAUCGUUUGUCUCUGCACCAGUCUUAUAUCGUGUUGACUUUUCCAAGGCAUUUUUUAUGGAAACAGAUGCAUCAGAUUUUGCCUUGGGUGCAGUUUUAUCACAAAUGAGAACAGAUGACAAACUCCAUCCGAUAGCUUUUCAUUCAAGAAAAUUCUCAGCAGCCGAGAUCAAUUAUGAGAUCCACGAUAAAGAACUUCUUGCGAUCGUGGAUUCCUUUCAAGAAUGGCGUCAUUAUCUAGAAGGCGCUUCUAGUCCAGUCACUGUGUAUACAGAUCACAAGAACCUCGAGUAUUUCAUGUCAGCACGCGUGUUGAAUCGUCGUCAAGCUCGUUGGAGUAUGUCUUUGUCAUGAUUCGAGUUCAUUAUCACUUAUCGACCAGGAAAACAACAAGGUUUAUCCGAUGCCCUAUCUAGACGUUCUUAUUUUGCACCAAAAGAAGGAGAUGCAGCUUUUGAGCAACAAAGAACGGUCCUCUUGAAACCGGAGCAAUUUCAUCUCCGAGCAAUGAAAUCAACAUUGACUGUUGAUUCAACUUUUCUCAAGCAAAUCCAGUCCAGUAUGUCCUCAGACCCUCUUGUUUAUGAUAUCGAGAAUAAUUCUUCCGAGUCUCAUGAUCCUUCUAAGUUUGAGUUCAAGAAUAAUCUAUUAUAUUUUGAAGGACGCCUAUAUGUUCCAGAAGGAGAAGCACGUUUAUGUGUUCUUCAAGCACGUCAUGACUUUCCAGCAGCAGGGCACUUUGGAUAUAAUAAGACUUUGGAACUCAUAUCAAGAGAUUUUUGGUGGCCACAAAUGUGGAAGUCAGUCAAAGACUUUGUACAAUCAUGUGAUAUUUGUUCAAGAUCAAAAAUUCCUCGACAUCGACCUUACGGACUUCUUCAGCCAUUACCUAUACCAGAACAACCAUGGUCUUCUGUUUCUAUGGAUUUCAUCAUAGAUCUUCCAAGCUCAAGAUCUUAUGAUUCUAUAUUUAUGAUAGUAGAUCGUUUCACCAAGAUGGCACAUUUUGUGCCAUGUACAAAAUCUAUCAUAGGUGAAGAAACAGCUAAGCUUUUCAUUGAUAAUAUCUAUCGCUAUCAUGGAUUACCUAAAGAUAUCAUAUCGGAUAGGGGAACUCAAUUUGUGUCAAGAUUUUGGAAGACCCUUUUCAAGAUUUUAAAAGUGGACAUAAAGCUAUCUUCGGCUUUCCAUCCUCAAACUGAUGGACAAACAGAGCGCGUAAACCAAGUCUUGGAGCAAUAUUUAAGGUGUACUAUCAACUACCAACAAGAUGAUUGGACAACCCUUCUGCCAUUGGCAGAGUUUGCUUAUAAUAAUACGGUACAUUCUUCCACGCAACAAACACCUUUCUUUGCCAAUUAUGGCUAUCAUCCACGACUUGAUACUUUUGAUUUUUCAAAAGUUGAUAAUCUUGCAGCAGAAGAUAUGGCAAAUCGGUUGUCAGAGUUACAUGCAAUAAUGAAGAUACAAUUGAAGGAAGCUCAAGAACGACAAAAAAUAAACGCAGAUCUAUAUCGUAAGGAGCAACCACAAAUCAACGUGGGUGAUAAGGUAUGGCUACUUCGUCGCAAUAUCAAGACUACUCGACCUUGUGACAAGUUGGACUAUCGUAGGCUUGGCCCCUUUUCUGUUUCUGAACAGAUCAACCCAGUUGCAUAUCGGUUACAUCUACCGGAGUCAAUGAAGAUCCAUCCUGUAUUCCACGUGUCUCUUCUUGAACCAUAUAAGACAGUAGAUAUACAAGGAAGAAGACAAAUGCCAUCGCCUCCUAUAGAAGUAGAUAAUAAUGAAGAAUUUGAGGUGGAAGAGAUAUUAGACUCAAGGCGGCGCCAAAAUAAGCUGGAAUAUCUUGUUCAUUGGCGCGGAUAUGAUAUUAGUGAACGCACAUGGGAGCCAUCCAGGAAUCUAGCAAAUGCAUCAGCUAAAGUCAAAGUUUUUCAUCAACGACAUCCAUCAAAACCAAGAUGAAAAUCUCUCUUAUAAAAGAGACAAGAUUGAGGCAAGAUAACAUUCAAUUUCCUAUCCUUGUUUGUAACUUCUUUACAUUUGUGAUGCUAAUUAGAUGGAGAGCCAACAACCAGCGGAUUCAACCCAAGAACCUUCGUUUGCUGACCUGCCGGACGAGACAUUACGAUUGUCACAACCUUCAAGACGACGCAAUCGAGAUGAAGAUCUUCAAGAACGACAUGUUCUUCCUCGAACAGAUGGUGAGAUACAACGCGUUUGGUAUCAUGAUUUGGGAAGGGACUCCCGAUGUUUGGUGAUUUUGCUAGAGGUAGGAACAACUCCUGAUGGUGUUCCGAAUAUUCUAUUUGAAGGAAGUUAUAAAGGCCUCAAUAAUGAUCAAAUAACUGGGUGGUCUUCCCGCCCUGGUAUGGGACACUACCGAUGGUUGAGAGGCCCUAUCAAUCAUCUUCGAAGAGAACAGAGAUCAGAGUAUGUGGCGAAUACAAUUCGUCGCAUCAUAGAUUUCCUCAACAUAUGAUGACCGCUCUUCGUGGAACUCGUCUCUAGAAGGGGGGGUAAUGUCACAGCCAUAAUCAUGUAAGCUAAUAAUUACAUAUAGAAAUAGGUAGAAGUAAGUAAAAGUAGAUAAAAGUAAGUUAAUUAUAUAAUAUUUAAUAUAGAAGCUUCCUAGAAACUUCCUAGACGCUGCUUUGACUUCAUAGGUGUCUUUAAUUGACUUUUUGGAUUAGAAACGUGGUCAACAAGUUGGCCAUGUGCCACACAUGUUGUUAGCUUGAAGAUCAAGCUAACUAUGUGGCCCACACGUAGAAAAACUUGCCUUGUAAGUCAAGGCAUGUGUCCUACAAAGUCAACACAUAUUGGAGGUCCUAUAGAAUGUCGCCACGUAGCCCCUAGUUAGAUAGUAUAUAUAGAGACAAGAGUGAAGGCUUCUUCACUCUUGUCAACUCCUUUCUUGCUUCUAGUCCAGGUUCAAGAGUCUUUAGUUUCUUGUCUUGUGGCAAUAGCCAUUCCAGUUUCCUUUUAAUAUACCUACUUGUUUAUAUUUUGACUUAUUAUAUCGAGAUAGCCUUUUGGUGUAUAUUUUUUCUCAUCGAGUCUUUGUCCUUGACAGUGGUUAGAAUAGUAAUUGUUCAAAUCAACCUAAUCAUGGCUUUGGAAAUUUUUAAAAUACUAAUUAUAAUCCGGUUCAUAGAACAAAUAUGCAGAACGGUGGAAAUAAUCAAGGGGAUAAUCCCAAACUAUACCAAUUCGGCAGUCCAAUUCUUGACCAAUAGCAACUGGUCAACUAGGAUCAUUUACUAUGACUACCUGGAAUCGGCCUAGUAGAUAUAUUCCAAUGGAGACUCUAAAUGUACUUGGCGAUAUGGACCAAAAACCACUACGUUGCUACCAGUAUUGGCAAAUUGGUCAUUAUGCCAGUGAAUGCCCUAAUCCAAGGUUUACAGACAAAUAUGCUCUACUAUGUGGAAAUUACAAGCAAUCGAGUUAUUUUCAUUAUCAAUGCAAUGUUCCAUUUAACCUUAAUAAUCAUGAUCAGAAGAUACAAUCAAUUGUGUAAAAUAUAGAAGAAAAAUAUAACAGGACACAGGAUUCACCAGUUCAUCGGGUAGAAGUAGUUCAAGCUAUCCUUACAAGAAGUCAACAAAAGGGGAAAGAACCAAUUCAACAUUUGGGUGAUUCUGAAGCAAAGGGCCAAUUGGAUCCAAUUACAGGGACAUCCAAUCCAGGUCCUGACAUGGGACCCUUACUCAAUAUAAGACCUGAAUUGGUUGUGCACCUUAAUGAGGUACUGAUUACGGAGGCUUCGAUUCCGUUUCAAGCUAUUCCGUUGUCGUACUGUAAUUACUUACAGUAUGUAAAAAUUAGUGAAAACAUGUAAUAUGUUUAUAAGUCUUAAUGUGAGUUAGAAUAGUAAGUAUGUUAAUUUAAAAUGAAUUGAAAUAAGAAAAAUUAUUUGGAAGUUAAUCUAGUUUGAUUAUAGAGUUUAUAUUAUAUAGGAUUUAGAUAGUUAGUAUAAAGAUUAAGGGAAGGGAGGAGUUAAAAGAUGAAAAUAUAACUAGAAGGAGGCUUAUUGGGAAGGAUGAAAGUAAGGCAUGGUUGGAUGAAGGCAAGGGGUGAAGAACUUCAUCCCUAUUGGUCGAAUACCAUGCCCAAUGGGAUUUGAGGAGGCUGCCCGAGGCCAUAUUAAGAAUUAGGGUUCCUCUUUCGAGGCCAUUCGAGCUUUUGAGGCUAGGGUCAGAAGGUUUAGGGUUUUGGGUAUAAUUUGGGUGAAGAUUUUGUGUGAUUUCGAGUUUUUAUGGAAAAGAUAUGAAUGUUCAAAGAUAAGGUGUCAAUUUCGUACCUACUGUCACUUCUUUUGGGCAUCACAUACGAAUACGGAGAGCAACGGAAGAUCGGCGACUGGAUUUGGAGGGAGCAUUUUCUCGGCUACACAUUCUACUUACUGUAUAGUGAAUUCUAAGAUUGGAUGAAGGAGUUAUGAGGCGUUGAAGACAGCACUUGUAAUUUGAAGGCAGUAAGUAUAUCGUUUUGUUGCUAGUUAUAGGUGAAGCCAUAUCUUGAGUUUUUGGACGAAUUUUUGGCUCAAAAUUUCCACAAGUGUGUGUAAUUGGGUUAAGAAGCUUUAUAUCAAAGUUUCAUAGUAUUUAAAUAAUUACUUUGUGAGAUAUGAAGGAAGUUGUACACGGGUGUAAAAAAGCUAGGGUUUGAAGCUACAGUUAGGAUUUUCAAGAUAUCACAAGAUCCAAGACGAAUUUACGGUUGAAUUUUGGUGUGGUAGUUGCUAAAGAUAUAUCAGUACUCCAUGUAAACUUUGGAGUUGUUUAGACGGUUAGAUCGUAAGUUAUGAGCUGUUGAACUUCGGGAAAAAUUCCUCAUAAGGAUAUAUAAGUUUUUUAUAACACCUUAUCAAGUAUUUUGGUGUUCUUUGGAUUUUAAGGCUUGUAUAUUGAUGUAAUUGCUCCAAAGGAGAGGAGUUUAUAUAUAUAAAAUUGUUAUCCUUAUAUUUCAAACUUGAUUGAGUAUUUAGUAACAGCCAGAAGCCCAGCGCUUUCUUGAGGCAAACUCUCUCUACCCCGACACCGUUCUCUAUAUAGUUUCGAAAAAUGUCUUUUUUGUUGAAAGAUCUUCUUAGAGGCAUGAAUUUCAAGGAACUAAUAUCAACCCAAUUAGAAAAAUAAUCUUACUCAUUGAAAGACCUGAUUUUACAGGCUUCGUCAAAUUUAGUUCCAGUAGCUUUAUCAAUUUUCAAUAUAGAGAAAACCUAUUCACCUGCGUCGGUGUCUAGGACUAGAAAGAAGAAAUGAACAUUAGAAAUGACCACUAAUACAGAACCAUAUGAUAUUCUAAAAGAUUUGGAUACCAUAUAACCCACGAUCUCUAUGAAGCAACUAUUGGCGGUAGUACCUAAGUGCCAAACUUUCUUGAAUUGAUAGAGUGUUAGUAUCGAGAGUGCAAGUAGAUGGAGGAUCUAGUAUAAAUCUUAUGAAUGUCGCUACAAUGGAGGAGUUGGAUUUGGAUCACUUAGUGCCUACUACAGUAGUUUUGAGAAUGGUUGACUCGAGUCGAGUUAAAACUAUGGAUAAGGUAAUGAUAAAAUUGUGCUUCAAAUGUAUCCUGUCGAAUAUCAUGCAGAAACUCAAGUUUCUAGUUCAAAAUUCACAUCGAAUUGUGAAGAUGAGUCUACAGAAGAAGAAAUUGGUAUACUUGACUCAAUUUAUGCUGAUACAAGGCUAAUUGUAGAGCACACUAGAAUGAAAUAUCAAUGCAAGGGACCGGGAGAGUACUUAGUUGUUUCAAAUGUUAUUGACGAUUCUGAUCAUAUGAUUACAUAUUAGAUGAAUAGACAGGAUGUUAAUCAGGUAAGUGCUAUAGAACUGGAGUUCGAAAGUUUUAAUGUGUCUGAUUUUAUGAAAGAUUCUAGAAUUGAGCAGAAUAUUAUUCUAGAGACUCCUGAAAUUCUACUAUGUCAACUAAUUAAUUAAGGUAUGGGAGAGGCUCCCCAAAUCAUUCAGAUUUAUGAUGGUAUAAAAAAUAAGGAAAAAAAAUUUAGGUGGAUUACUUCUUAAUGCAUAAAACUACUUUCACAUGCUCGUAUGUAGAUUUGAAACAAAUUCUAGCUAAAAUUUGUGUGCAUUAAAUUAUAUUGGAGGAGUAUUGAAGAACAAGUACUUUGAAGACACAACACUUAGCAUUAGCAAGGUUGCACACAAAGAGAGUAUGGAAUAAGAUGUCUCUCACUUCCAAUACCCAUUACUUAUAGAUAGUGGUUGCUGCCCUAAAAGACAACUUCUACUCUUUGAUUUUUACAUACAUGGCCCUAAGAUCCUUUUGGCAUCUCACGAGCCUUGAGGGUAUCGUAUGACACAUACUAAUAACUCAUACUUAAUCUUUGGAUAUUCCCUUAUUAAUACUUUAUCGUUUUGACUUUGACUCUUAGUCCAUGACUUCGUCCUAUAUCCAUUGGAUGCCUUUACCAUAUACCAAGAGUCAAAUCUUUGACCACUAGCAACUUACCUAAGUUAAUAUCCUCUAUAAGGUAAUUUAUUCUACUUUUACUUUAAUACUUUGACAUUGCUAUUGGUCAAAUGGCUUUUAAUCCUAAUGCCUUUGUCAACAUGUGGUGUCUAUCUUGUACUAAUACGUUUGUCAACAAAUCAGCAAGCAUUUCCUCCAUUGCAUAAUACUUCAUAUCAAUCACUCCCAUUUCAAUCUUCUCUCUUAUAAAGUGAUGUUGAAUGUCAAUGUGCUUGGUCCUUGAAUGAUGCUUUGGAUUCUUUAUAAAUGCAAGACAUCCUUGAUUGUCACACUCCAUUAGAGUUGCUUCUAUUUGCACAUCUCCAAUGUCCUCCAAAAGUUGUCUCAACCAUAUUGCCUCCAUUGCACCAUGGCUUGCUGCCAUGUACUCCGCUUCCAUUGUUGACCUUGCAAUGGUUGGUUGUCUCUUGCAAUUCCAUGAAAUUUCUCCCAUUCCAACAAAGAAUACAUAGCCUAUUGUUGAUCUUCUAUCAUUUGUAUUUCUAGCCCAAUCUACAUCACAAUAACUAUGCAAAUUAAUGUUAUCACCUCCAAGGCAUAAUUUGAAGUUCAAAGUGCCUUUUAAGUACCUCAUGAUCCUUUUGAUGGUUGCCCAAUGGAUUGGUCCAGCCUUUGACAUGUGUUGACUCAUAACACUUACCGCAUAUGCAAGAUCAACCCUUGUGCCAACUAUUGCAUACAUCAGUGAGCCCACUGUUGCCUUGUAUGGAACACCUUGCAUUUGACCUUCAAUUUCAGCAAACUCUUCAUCCGUGAGCUUCAUCAACUUCAAGUUUGCCUCCAAUAGUGUUCCAAUAGGCUUACACUCUUCCAUGUUGAAUUGUUUUAACACUUCUUCAAUGUACUUACUUUGGCUCAUUGUAAUGGUCUUCUUAUCACAAUCUCUUACAAACUCCACUCUUAAACAAUAGUGAAGCUCUUCCAAAUCACUCAUUUCAUACUCCUUUUCUAACUUUGCGUUCAACCAAUCCAUCAUCUUCAAUGUAUUGGUUAAGAUGAUUAAAUCAUCAACAUAGAGGAUGAAAAUCAAUAUGAACCUAUUUGAUUGCAUCAAAUAUAAGGAAUGAUCAGCCUCACUCCUUACAAAUCUUUCACUCACAAAGAAUGUAUCAAUGCGUUGGUACCAUGCCCUUGAUGAUUGCUUUAGUCUAUACAAGGAUUUCUUCAACUUACAAACAAGAUGUUGUUUGCUUUCUUCAACAAAUCCUUGAGAUUGCUCCAUGUAGAUAUCUUCUUUCAAACUUCCAUUCAAGAAAGCUGUCUUUACAUCCAUUUGAUGCAUCUCCAAGUCCAAUUCUGCCCCAAUUAACACAAUGGUUCUAAUGGUGGUGAAUUUGGCCACAAAAGCAAAUGUCUCAUUGAAAUCCAUACCAGCAACUUGUGAGUAGCCUUUAGCAAUCAAUCUAGAUUUGUAACUCAUAAUAUUACCCAUUGCAUCCCUUUUGAUUCUAAACACCCACUUACAACCAAUUGAAGAUCGAUUUGGUGGAAGUUGAGUCAAUUCCCAUAUUCUAUUGUCCAUGAGUGAUUUGUACUCUUUUUCCAUAGCAUUCUUCUACUUCAAUGCAUGCGUGGACUUCAUUGCAUCACAUAAACUCAAUGGAUCAGCAAGAAAUACAACAUUGGCAUGUUCUUCACUUACUUGAGGAAAGAUGUGGUCCUUCCACUAUUCACCAUGUGAUUUUCUUUCUCUCAAAGGAUAUCUCCUUUCAUUUGAAAAAGACCCUUCUUCUUGCAUUCCAUCCUUCUUCUUCUUCAAUGCUUGUCUUUUCUCACUCAAAGGUUGAUAUUCUUCAUCAUUAUCAUCACCUUCAAUAUCUUCAUUCUCUUCAUUGUUGGAUCUAGCAAUUGAAGGCAUACUAUGAUUUACCUUCUUUGGCACUUCAUCUUGAUUUCUAUUUCCUCCAUCUUCAUUGUCAUCAUCAUCUUCUUCUUCUUUUUUCUUUUCUGAACUUGAAGAUGUGUCCACAAACUCACCUUCACUUCUACUUGGAUACUCUUGCAAGUAUUCAAAAGCACUCUUAUGCUCCAAAAACUCUACAUCACGACUUUUGAUGAUCUUCUUGGUUUCUAAACACAUCAGCCUAUAUGCUUUGGUACCUUCACAAUAUCCAACAAAUACACAUUUUGUACCUUUUGUAUCAAAUUUCGACCUCAUACAAUCUAGUUACUUUGCAUAAGCAAUGCAUCCAAAAAUCUUCAUGUGUGAAACACAAGGUUUCUUCCCACUCCAAGCUUCUUGUGGAGUCAUUGAUGUAAGUGUACUUGUAAGGCACCUAUUUCUUAUGUACACCUCAUUUACCACAGCUUCUAUCCAAUACUCAUGCCCAAGGUUUUGUGUAUGAAGCAUACUCCUUGCCAUCUCCACAAUGGUGCGAUUUGCUCUUUCAGUAACUCUAUUUUGUAGUGGAGUGUAAGGAAUAGAGAUUUAUCUUGCGAUAUCUUGAAUCUUUAUGAAUUCAUCAAAAUGCUUUGACAUGUAUUCACUUCUAUUGUCCAUUCUCAACACUUUGAUCUUGCACUUACAUUGUUUUUCUAUAAGAGCCUUAAACUCCUUAAAUCUUGAGAAACAUUCACUUUUAGCUUUAAUGAUGUAAAUCCACACCUUUCUUGAAAAGUCAUCUAUGAAUGUGACAAAAUACCUUUCUCCUCCAAUUGAUGGUGUCUUCAUUGGUCCCCAAACAUCAAAGUGUACAAUCUCUAAUAAUUUUAUUGCAUGUAUUGUAACUCCACUUGAAAAUGAAGCCUUUUGUUGUUUGCCUUGUAUACAUCCUUCACAAGCAAGUGUCAUGGCAUUGUGGCUGAAUUAACCAAGAUCCAAGCCACUUACCAUAAAUUGGACCUACUUCAUGCAUUUGGCAUUCAAAUGACCAAGUUGUUGAUGCCAAAUUCCAAAUUUGUGUUGAUCUUGUGAAAAAUCAGCAAAUGCCACCACUUCAACUCCAUUCACCUUCUUGCAAUUGAUGAAGUAGAGAUUUCCAUCUUUAAGGCCUUUGACAACAUGUUAGCCAUCCAAUGUCUUGACAAAACAUCCAUUCAUAUCAAAUUAAACCUUAUAACCAUGUGAUACAAGUUUACUCACCGAAACGAGGUUCUUCUUCAUUUUUGGAACAUGUAGGACUUCCUUCAAUGUAAUCCUCUUGAUUUGGUCCUUUACAACAAUCUCUAACACAAUGGAACCAUAUCCAAUGGCUUGCACCAUACCAUUGUCUCCCAACUAUACUUUUAUUGUUGGAAUUUCUUCAUAAGUGUUAAAUGAAUACUUGUAUGGUGUCAUGUGCUUAGUAGCACCUGAAUCUAUAAUCCACUUCGAAAUAGAAGCCAUAGAGGCUCCUUCCCUUGCCAUGAAAGCAUACUCAUCUCCACCAAAAUUAUCACUAGCAUUUUUUGCAUUCUUUCUAUCUCCUUUUUUGGCCUUAUAGCAAUUUCUAGUAAAAUGACCUAAUUUUCUACAAAUAUAGUAAUUCCUCAUAUUACUUUUUGAAUUAUCACAUUGGUGAGAACAGCUACCUUUGCCUUGAAAAUAGAGCCAAAUCAUCACUUGCAAGCUCCUUUUCUUUCUUUUUGGUAACUUCAUGGGUAAGUCUUGAUGUGACAUAGUUCAUAGUAAGCUCCUUCAUGUUGAUGGACUCCAAUACCACAAUGAAGUAGUUGUAGGAUUCAGGAUGAUAAGAACAUUGUGUUGACAUUGCUCAUGAGCCUUCACAUCAGCAUUGUCACUUGGAACGUCUUCACUUUCAUCAACAAUGUCCGAAAGGUCUAAUGAAGCUAACAAGAGCUCCAUUUUUUUCUUCCAAUGGUAAAAGUUGUCACCUUUAAACUUUUCAAUCACUCUCAAGCUUUCACCUUCACUUGAAGCCAUGUUUGGGGAAGGGAUGUAUGAAAGAAAAUCAAAAAAAGAGAAGAUAGAACUCUCAAAAUCAACAAGAAGAUGUUGUUGCAUUAGAAACCCAAAAUUCCCUCUUUGUAAUUAUACAAGUGAUUUCACUCUUUGAUCACUCUCAACUUCACACAUAAGACUUCUCACAAGUCUUAUACUCUAUCUAAACCUCUUGCAUAAGCUUUGCUACUCUUCAAUUACUCCUCUAACGACACAAAAUACUUCUUAUAAUAAUAGAAGAAUCUCUUAUGAAGUUAAGUAUAUGAAAGUACAAAGUUAGAUCAUCAAUGAUAAAACUCAGCAAAGAAAUAUAAUAUUCAAGUUCUAAAAUAUCAUUAAAUAGAGUCUAACAACAACCAAGACUAUCAAUUCACUUAACAACAAGUAAGAAUAAAAACUACAUCAACAACUAGAUGCAUAAGAAGGGUGAAUCUGCAAGGUUGGACACAAAGAGAGUAUGGAAUAAGAUGUCUCUCACUUCCAAUAUCCAUUACUUAUAGGUAGUGGAUGCUACCCUAAAAGAUAACUUCCACUCUUUGACUUUUACACACAUGGUCCUAGGAUCCUUUUGGCAUCUCAUAAGCCUCGAGGGUAUCCUAUGACACAUACUAAUGACUCAUACUUAGUCUUUGGAUAUUUCCUUGUUAAUACUUUAUCCUUUUGAUUUUGACUCUUAGUCCAUGACUUCGUCCUAUAUCCAUUGGAUGUCCUUAUUAUAUACCAAGAGUCAAACCUUUGACCACUAGUAACUUACUUAAGUUAAUAUCCUCUAUAAAGUAACUUAUUCUACUUUUACUUUAACAAGGAGAAUUCUACACUAGUACAUCAAAGACAACAUCGACUUAAUCUAAAAUACUCACUUAUCGUAAAAGAAGAACUAUAUAAACUCUUGGAAGUUCAAUUUAACUAUCUAGUUCCUUUCAGUGUAUGGGUUUCAUCUAUUGUUAUGGUACCAAAAAAUAAUGAAAAAGUUCUCAUCUUUCAAGAUUUCUAAAAAUUAAAUGCGGCUAUCAAGAAGGAUUGUUUUUCUUUACCAUUCACAGAUAGUAUAUUGGAUGUUAUCGUUGGACAUAAAUAUUAUUCAUUUCUUGAUGGAUUUUCUGGUUAUAAUUAAGUUAAAAUUACAAAAGAAGACUAGUUAAAAACUACUUUUAUUACGAAUUAAGGGACCUUUGCCUAUAAAGUUAUGCCAUUUGGACUUUGUAAUGCACCAGCUACAUUUCAAAGGAUAAUGAUGCAAGCGUUCCAAGAUUAUCUACGAAUUUUAAUGGAAAUAUUUCUAGAUGAUUUUUGUACAUUUAGUACAAUAGUCAGGCAUUUAGAAUGUCUAGGUCUAUGUUUGAAUCAAUGUACCAAAUAUGGAAUUUCUUUAAAUUUAGAAAAGUACCAAUUUGGUCUGUCUUUUGAUAAACUUUUGGAUCAUAUAGUUUUGAUGGCAGGCAUUGCUAUAGAUCCAAAUAAAAUAAAGAUUAUAUUAGAAUUAAAGCAACCAGAUAUUCUUAUGUAUCUAAUUUUAUAUAAACAAGGCAAGGAUGGAGUUUUGCGAUGUUGUAUUUAUCAAACUGAAGUGAAUACUAUAUUGGAAGGUUGCCACUUAGACAGUUGUGGUGGACAUUUUGUGGAAGAUAACAUGGCUCAUAAAGCUUUACAAGCUGGUUGUUGGUGGCAAACAAUGCUUGCACAUGCCCACCAAUUUGUCCAUCAUUGUGAUCCACGUUAGAGAAUGGGUCGACCUAUUGGAACUUCAAUGCCAUUGGUACCAAUUUUGGCUCAAGCGCCUUUUGAAAAAUGGGGAAUUAGUUUUGUAGGACCAAUUACACUAGCCUCGAGAAAUGGACAAAAAUAGUAUAUACUGAUAGCAACGGAUUAUGUAACAAAAUGAGCUGAAGCCAUAGCUACAAAAACCGAUAGUACAAGUAUAGUAGCAAUUUUUUUAUAUGAAAAUAUUAUUACAUGGUUCGGUUGUCCAUGAGAAUUGGUUAGUGAUCAAAAAACUCAUUUUAUAAAUAGUAUAAUCAAAGCACUCACAGCUAAAUAUGAGAUAAAAUAUCUUACGACUACACCGUAUCACCCUAGAGUCAAUGGACAAACGGAAAAGACUAAUGGAAGUUUAUGUAAAAUCUUAACAAAAAUAAUUUCAAGAGUGGGAACAGAUUGAGACACUAAGUUGUUCAAAGCUUUAUGGGCAUACCGUACUGCAAAUAAAGUUACUACCAAUGCUACCCCUUUUCAAUUGGUUUUUGGCCAAGAAGCAAUAUUACCUAUUGAAUUGGAAGUCCAAAGUUUACAAAUUGCUAUAGAUAAUAGAUUGAGAGAUCAUGAUUCAUUACGGCACCAUUUAGAAGAAUUAGAAAAAUUGGAUGAAACUAAAGCCAAUGCAUUAAUGAUAAUGGAAACUAUACAAAAAUGAAGGAAAACUUAUUAUGAUAGUAAGCUUAGACCAAAGACUUUUAUGCCAAAUGAUUUGAUACUUCAUUAUGAUAGUCGAUUUAAAAAUUUUCUAAGAAAAUUUUAAGUUCGAUGGCAUGGGCUAUAUCGAGUUAUUGACGGAUUUCCAAAUGGUUCAAUACAAUUGGAAGAUUUUAUGGAUACUAAAUUUAUAACAUAGAUCAAUGGCAAUCAGCUUAAACUUUACUAUACAUAAAUCUGGGAUGGAUUUUUUGUUAUAAAAGGGGGGGGAUAAAUAAUGAUGAUGAUAGGAUAGUAAAUGUAAGGUGAUAAGAAGUGAGGAAUAUGGAUGGGAUUAGUGACUACGGUAGUAAAGCCUGUUUGUCAGACCUAGUUAGUAGGAUAUUUCAUCAUGAUAAAUUGUGGAAAAUAAGGGAGAGUCGACCCAAUUGAUUGAACCAUAGUAAGAAGUAGGAGGGGGGCACUUGAUAAGCAUCGUGUUUUCUUUUGUGUAAGCAACCGUUGUCGUAAUACAUGAAGUCUUGCUUGAAAAUGCUCCGGACACCUGAUUGUGGAAGGAAGAAUAAAAAUUGCAAUAAAAAAACUCUAAUUCUAAUAGAAUAUUAACAAUGCUCUAAUUAGACUAUAAUAAUGCUAAGCAAGUUUAAUCAAAUCCAAAAAAAUCUCAAAGAAAUUUCAAACAAACAAUAGGAAUUUUUAAAGAAAUAUUAGAAUGAACAAAAAUGUCAUUCAAAUACAUCUCAAUUCAAUCUUAAUUUAAUUGUAGUUAAAAUCCUAUUGAACUUCAUUCAAACUUUAAGCCAAAUUAAUUGAAUAUUAAAUCCUAAUAAAAUCCUAAACUCUAAAUCAAAUCCUACCAAACCCUAAACCAAAUCCUAAUCCAAAUCUUAAAUCCUAAACCAAAACCUAAUCAAAUCCUAAACCCUAAAUCAAA
This 71408-nucleotide long non-coding RNA is filed under the name Physcomitrium patens. RNAcentral describes it as "long non-coding RNA (PPAT_LNC001853)". Lineage: Eukaryota; Viridiplantae; Streptophyta; Bryopsida; Funariales; Funariaceae. The record is from RNAcentral.